UUUUUUUUUGGUUUAUGCAGGCGGGUGAGCACUAUAUUUCAGAGCAUUGGCUCACAUAUGCAGCAGUGUUUGACUAUGUUACGCCUGACUAUGUCGUCGAGACCCCGCCGCCACAUCUUGUAGACAAUGAUAAUGUAGCCAAUGAGCCUAAUCCCAGAAAGAAGAUGAAGAUGAAGAUGACAUGCAACGCAGAGUCCACCAGCAGUGGCAAGUCAGAUUCAAGCUUUGGUGAACGUUUUUCAAACCUGAUGGAAGAUAAAGAAUUUGCCGCACAACUCUUCAUGGGUCGACUGAGUAUGGAAAAUUGUUGUGACAAAGCUAUGAGGUGUGGUUUCAAAGGCAAAGAACUUCGUUCUGUUCUAAAUUUAUGCAGGUUAAAUUGGGAGCAGCGUCAGAUAUUCUUGAAACUUGAAGAUUCUGAAGCAAAGGACUAUGCCUUAGAAGCUAUUUACGGGUUUGUCCCGCCGCCACCGCCUCCGCCGCCGCCGCCGACCCAGUGAGUUGUAUGAACGUUUCCAAACUUGUAUGGACUGUAUAUGUUCAUUUAUGCUGGCUCGGGACAUUUGAACUUGUAUGAACUUUGUAUGAAUUUGUAUGGACUUGUAUGAGUAUUGUCAUAUAUGAAAUGUGUGUAAUGUGUAUUGUCAUAUAUAUAUAUAUAAACUGCAUGUGAUGUCCGUUGUGAUAUAUAUAUAUAUGUAUAUAUAUAUUAUUGGACUGGAUACGAGAAAAAAAUAGUCAUAACUUUGUCACGUGAGCAUCCAAUUGGCAAGCAAGUUGCACAACACAACAUCACACUCUCUAUCCAGGCAAUGAAUAAAGUUUGUCCGUGUCACUGGUGAAUUUCAUACGCAUCUGUUACUAGGAGCGAUAGAAGCGUGGGCGUUGUUAAUCGGGAAAUAUUGUGAUAAUAAAGCCAUAAAUGGAGCAGCCCUUUACCCAAAAGCUCUCACGCACAGGAAGCAUCUAGCUAACGCGACGUCGAUGGAAAAACAUGAGCAUCUUGGUCGCUGCGGCAGUUCCUGCGGCACGCGUGCGCGGGGUGCCUGGGCCUCCAUGGCUACUGAGGCUAAGAAAUUUGGACUCCUCAUUUGUUGAUCAGCCAAAGCGAUCACAAUGGCUUAAAAAGUGAUAACAAUCGCUUAAAUCUUGCUUGGAUCUUGCUCCCUCGGCAAAGCUGGUGAAUCUCUUGGGAAAGAACUUGAAUCUUGCUUGGAUCUUGCUCAAACCCAACCCUAGACUAAGGAUUUGGAGUGGGGAAGCUAGGGUUUCACUUUGGGGAGUUUUGGAGUGCUUAGAAGGUGCUUGAGGCUAAGCUUAUGCAGUUUGGCAGGGUGGAUUUUCCGUUGGGGUCGAAGGGAUAUAUACAGAGCCUCACUAAAAACUAGCCGUUAGGCUGUUUUUAAGUGUCCUGGCGGACUGUCCGCCAGGACCACUCGGGUUUGCAUUUUUCUGUUCAAGGUAUGGGUUCCGGAUUUGGUUUAUUUGUGUUCUACCACACACUUUCCACAUCCCCUUUGAUAGUACGGUAUACCUAGACUAAAGAAAAUAUAAAACAAAGAAUUAUCUUCGCUUGAACCACAUUUCUUGAACUGGUACCGUUCUCCAAUUUUAACGAAUCGUCGGGUUUGCAUUUUUCUGUUCAAGGCAUGGGUUGGCUUCAUUUCAUAAUGAGCAAACCAAAUAAAGUCAAAGCAUCAUGAUGAGAUAAAACCAAGAUAAUGUAAUAUCACAUGAUUUCACAAACAUAGAAAAGCAAUAAGAUCACAACCAUGCAAACAUCAUCCAUAAAAAGAAAUUAGAAAUUACAAGCCAACUUAGUUCAAAUAGGAUACAAGCCAAGUCUCACAUAGAUCCAAAGUCGCACAACGACUCUAAAGGAUGGAAAGAUAAGAAUGCUAGGAAUGCUAGGAUACAAUCUUCUCCCCCUUUGGCAUCAAACACCAAAAAGAGAAAAGACAAAUGGAAGCUCGGAGCAGUAAUCACUCAUCAUCCUCAUCAUCAUCAUCAUCAUCAUCAGCACCUACAUCAUAAUGCUCCCACGCAGCUGGAAAGUCCCUAGGAGGAGAAGGCGGAAAUGAGGGCCAAUCCGUCUCCUCAAUGCCAAGGUGGCGCUCAAUCCUGUUGAUACUCUGCUGAUUUGCCCGAGCGUGAGCACGAACUACAUCGUUGGUGUUGCGGCAUACUUUGAAGAGAGCUUUCAAGCCAGAAAUAAAGGCAUUGCCUUUCCUGCGAGGACGAGUCCUAGAAGAGGAAGGCAUCGCCGAGGUGGAGGGCAUAUCCAUAGUGGGCUGGGGUGGAGAGUGAGCUGAUGGGGGAGACUCGCCCUCUGGUGGAAACUCUUGCUCCUUGGGAGGCUGUGGGCAAUAUGGGGCAUGGACCGCAUCAUAUCCAAACUCCAUUCCAGUCACGGCAUUAAUCAUCCUUUGAAUGUAUGGAGCAUAGAUAACUGGAUUACUGCCAUGAUGGAGCAUGUACCUCAACUCCGUCCAGAAAAAGUGAAAGACACUAAAGGGCGGGUGAUCAAAGUCCAUAGCUAGAAGAAGGUUCUUGACCGUACCAUGAAUCUUGGUGCGAUCACCCCUCUUGGGAGUCAAGGUCUCCCGGAAUAGCCUGUUCAUGAUCUCCAUAUAUGGACGUAGUCCAUGAGUCGUCGCUAUAUCCGGAUCCUCAUCCCGAUAGAGAGUCAUAAGAGCUUCAUCCGUUGGAUUGAUGUCAUCGUGAAUUUCCAUCUCAUCUAGAGUGUCAUCAAGCUUAAGGAUAGUAGCAAAUUGCUUGUAUGAAACCCAGAAGGCGCGCCCUUGAAGAUUGAAGUGAAUAAAGGAAUUCUUGCCCUCACCUUCAAACCAAGCAGUGGAGCAAAAUUGAGCAACCAACUCAUUGUUCCAAUCUUGAUUGAGGGCCAAGAAUUCAUAGAAGUGUUUCCUCUCACAUUCACGUAUGACCAAGUCAAAGGUUGGAUUAUUUUUCUCACUCAUUUCAUCCCAAUUGAUGUACUUGGAGACGGUGAUAGCAUUCUUCUUCUCAAUAAAGACGGAUAUGUACCAAUCAGCUUGAAAUUUGCUCCAAAACCUCCUAUCCGUGAUGUACUUCUCAUAAUCAUAAGGAUUUUCCUUUCUUUCCUUAAAUGCAGCACCUCUUUGCUUUGUGGUGUAAUCCACUCGCUUCACUCCAGGGUCACCGAAGUUGAUCCUUGUGUACUCCGGUCUGUGCAUGAUAUACUUCCGGUAGGGUUGGAGUGGAGGGUACUCAUCAAAGAUAGGAACCUCCUCUUGAGGCACAUCACCUUGUGGUUGAGCAGCUCUUUGGUAGCUACGCCUGGGUGCCGCAUGGCUAGGACCGCCCAUUUGCCCAGCUCGACUCAUUGAAAUUUUGGGCGUUGGCUUCCUUUUGCGCUUAGGUGGAGGAACGACUUCAAUUUCAUCGGAAUCGGAGUUGGAGACGGGAUCAUGCAAGAACUUGGUCCUCCUCUCAUGCACCAUCUGUACAUGUAUAGGAAGUAUACAGCUUGAUUAGAAGUAAUAAAAGAACGGGUGGAUACAAACAAAGGAUUAUGCAGUAAAAAUCAAGACUGAGAGGUCCUGGCGGACAGUCCGCCAGUACCGGCGGACUGUCCGCCAGGACCUCUCGGUUUUGAAUGUUCCCGCGAAAACAUGUGAUGUCAAGAAUUAAUCCAAUGGGGCUCAAACUUUGUAGGCACAUUGUAGAUGAUAAUGGAAGCCUAGACUUAAAUUUUGAACAACAAUGAGUGGAUAGAUUGGGAGAUCGACUUGAAUAAAGGUUUAGGUUAUGAAAUGAACAUGAACAUGUGAACUAAAGAUUUAGCCAUCCAUUCUUCAAGAUUUUCAAGGAAUAGCAUCCUCUACCUAGCAGGAAACAAUAGCUAAAAGCAUUCCUCAAGAUAUGCAUCGAGUAGAGAGAUCAAUGGAGGAUUGCAUAUACCUUGUUCUUGCCCUAGGAUGAAUGGAAGUGCUUCCAAAGGAUUGGAAACGAGGGGAGAAGGUUCUUGCAGCCUGUGGAGGGGCUCCUUCGCCGUGGACCUUGCGGAGGAACCGAAUCCUUGGCUCCACGGACAAUGGGGGGCAAUGGGGGGUGUUGUCCGUGGGGAAGGAAGAGAGAGUGAGAGGGGCUAGUUGUGUUAUGUGGAUGAAGAGAGAUAGAGGAGCUUCAUCCAAGAGGUGUAGAGGGUUUUGGACAGCCUCCCACGGACAUAACACGAUGGGCCCACGAAGAGAUAGUUGGAUGGAACAAAAAUGAUAAGUUCUGCUGGCUGACCCCGAGAGGUCCUGGCGGACUGUCCGCCAGUACUGGCGGACAGUCCGCCAGGACCUCUCAGCCAGCCAAUAAAAUAUCUUAUUUGCCGAGUGUCGGUCAUCUGACACUCGGCAAAUACACCCUUUGCCGAGUGUUACAAAUGUAGCACUCGGCAAAGAUAACGGCGUUUAGGGUUUAGGGUUUAGGGUAUCUGUUUGCCGAGUGUAUCCGUUUGCCGAGGGUUAGGCUCUCGGCAAAUAAUAUGUUUGCCGAGUGGUUUUUUUUGCCGAGAGCGACGCUCGGCAAAUAACUUCUUUGCCGAGUGCCCGAAAUAUAGCUCUCGGCAAACUUUUCACCCUCGGCAAAUCGGGCCUCUCCGGUAGUGUCCAUUUUGUUUUUUCUUCUACUAGGUAGCAAACAUUAGAAGAAAACAAAAUGAAACGAUGUUAAUCAGAGUACUGAAUGUCAUUUAUGCAUGAUUUGAGGGAGUUUUUUAGAUGAAGGAAGUUUUAUUAGAAUAAUUUCCUUCCAUAAAUAGGAACAUAAAUUCACAUGAACUGUACACUAAUAAGUGAACUUCAUCAAUUCCUACGCUAAAAAUUUACCAAGCAAAACCUACUAGUGGUGGGUUCAUUAAUUACAAAGAGCAUUGAGCGUAGUAUAACUCCCAGACCAGUUUUAGUGCACAGUUUUAUGGGAUAGUUACCGAGACUGGAAACUAGGUGACUCUGCUAGAGGAGUUUUUAGGUGAUAAAACUCCUCUCAUAUCGCAUGAAACUCUCUCAUUCUCUCUUCUCACCAUUUCAGUAAAAUUAAUGAUGUGGUAUAGAAUUUAAUAUCAUAAAACUUUCCAUAAAACUGUUAUCGAGACUGGUCUCGUGUAACUGGCACUCCUCUACGGUUACUGAAAUCGAGUUAAUAGCAGCCACAUGGGUGCUUCAUCUAUAUAAAAAGAUCGCCUGCGGGGCUCCAGAUCCGACACAAGUACGGAAGCAGGGAGCCACUUGAAGCCACCACCCGCGUGUAGCCCAAGCUCCCUAACAAAUUGAGCACGUGAUGGCCAGGCUCGCCGUCCUCGCGACCGCCCUCCUCCUCCUCGUCGUGGCCGAGGCGAUCGUGUUGCCCGUGCACGGCGCCCGCCCUCUGGGGAGCGUGGAGCUCGUCGCUGUCCGGGAGGCCAGCUCGUCGUCGGUGGCAAAGCCCCCAUCGUUGCGGGUCCCGGCGCUCAUCCCGUUUGAUCGCCGCUACGUAGAAGAGGCGGACGGCCCCGCCGCGGCGUCGUACCUUGUGACCGACUGCACCCAUAAGACGCCGGCGAAUGGGUCCUGAUUUAUAAGCAGAACAUGUUGCCCUAAUUCGGGCCGGGUGUCACCUUAGAAUGAGCAUGCACUACUAUACCUUUGUUAAUUGCCAAAACCAUGUGAACGGCCCUGAAAUAACGUGAAACCAAUCAAUUAUCCGAUAUAUAUUGCACUGUAAUGUAUGGGGUAGCAAAGUGAGCCAGUAUUUUGUUUGGGGGCUAGACGGCAAACAUGAUUAUCUUGUCAGCUAGCGUUAAGCUACUGUACUGCCUGUACGUGUUUGAAUAAUAGCAUCAAUUUUUACGGUACAAGAUCAUAACGGCCAUCGGGAGUACGUACAGCAGUAGAGUUGUUGCGCAACAACGAUAGCGAUCAAGAUCCUUAUCACGAGUUACGAUCGAUCAUCGGAAUGGCAGGCGUUGGGAGGACACUCAUCCAAGAGCCGUAUUCAGACCAGGCAAGUCCAAUGCAACGUCAGUUUGCUGAAGAGAGGUCGCACUUACAAACAUUGCCUUGCCUUCCGAGCGAGGAUCAGGCUGCCGAUGCGUUUGGAGGAGUAUGUAUAGCUGGAUAGCUAGCUUGUCUCAUGGCAUGUACUGGCAAGGUUUGCUAGUUAUUACCAUUUUUCCUAGCUAACCCAUUUAAGCGCUAAGGAGUUAUAUGAUUUUAGUCCUGUAUGCCGUAUGUGUAGUUGAAAAAAAAGGACACAGACUUAAAAUGGUGGAACCUUAGGAAAAAAACCCACUAAAACCGUGGCCCUCCGAUUCAUUUUAUUUGUCGUUUCCAACAAGCAAACUGAUCUGGCUCCAAGCCAAACUGAUCUGCCGUAUGUUGUGGCGAUGGCUGGCGAUUAACCAUCAGGUGGAGAUGUUUGCAGCUGUAGGUGAAGCUGGAGAAUCAGGUGGCCAACCGGUCAGAUUCAGUGGAUACUUGAGGGGAAAUUUAAUUUUCCGUUGCCGGAAGCAAGCUAGCGCCCCGCACAGCUAUGGGACAAUAUAUCACGGAACAAUAAACGGCUGGAACAAUCAAAUGCAAUGUGGAAUAAUGAUAAUAAAGUUUCACCUAACUCUGCCGGCUUCGUCCGUAUAUAUACCAGAUGUCUUCUUAUUUCUUCUUUCCUUGUGUCUUCAAAAAUUCUGUCGGCGAGGCGAGAGCAAGAGUGAAUGAGGAAAAUGGUCGAGAAGGGCAUGGAUGGCGUUGCGGUGAUUCUUGGAACGGGAGGCAUCCGGAGGAUCAUAUUGGCAAGCGUAUGUUCUCGUCCUCCUUUUUUCCAUUUUUCUGACUGCAAACAGCCCUCUUUGAAACAUCGAUCUAACACCACUAACUGCGGACGUUGCAGGCACAUUUGCAUGUCUCUGAAUGUCUGAACCAAUCGAGUUCUGUCGUCAUGUCCUGGCCAACCACACUGGUUAUUAGGGCAACUUCGGCUCGGCGGCAUCUUACUACAGAGUAGUGAGGCCUGGCUGAAUCUGAACGUGGGGGGCUCGAUGAGACGAAGGUGCGCUGCGGACCUGAUGCCGGGAGCAUUGACGCAUUUGUAUUCUUGUUCCCGGUAGCACAGUUGCUUUGAACAAGAAUGCUUACGAGACAAUGCACCCGGCACUGACGCAUAUGCUUAUGUAGGUGGUCGGCCUUGUAAUCGUUGUUCAGCUUUUCUCAUAUGUUGUAAACAGUAAAACAUUUCUGGUUUCUUCUAAAUUCUAAAAACACAGGUGCUUUCCUAGCCGAAUCGAUCGGAGCGUGGGUUUUAUUAGUUGGUAAUAAGAGUAACUUGCAUGCACGUAGACCACCUGAUGCCGGGAACAUGAAUGCAAAUGCAUCAAUGCUGACUUGGACGCAGCGGUCAAGUCUGUGUCUCGUAUCAUUACCAACUAAAAGCCUCACUAGCUAGUGUAGUGGGCUCAUAGUCCGUCAGCUCUUGUGGAACUGGAACAGGAGUUGAGCGUGAUACCCAGCGUACCCACGUUAGGAGAAAUUACAUAGCAAUACGCUUAUAUGUCCAUUGCUAGCAGCUAGCUGUUGUUCAGAUUCGUCCAAAUUUUCCGUCAAAGUUACUUAUUAGGCAUCAUUUUUCAAAACUACUGCUCCCGUAAUCAAUAUGAACAUGACCAACUGACUUGUGCUCGAAUUGUUUCGGGGUAGAUCGACAUAGACAUGCUAAGGAAUUGUGGCGAUGUGCUUUGACCUUUGAGCGAGAAUGGAAGGGAUCAGGACUUGCAUUGUCGGAGGAAGCCCGCACCGCACGAGUCGACUGAGUCUCUCGGUGGGCUGCCAGACGGCCGGCAGCGCGGCUGAAGCGCAGGGACAUGGCGCAGGGACGACUAUAGUUAUCCAUCCGGUCCGAGACCCGUGGGCCAGUCUAUUGCCUGGCUUUUUGACCCGACACGAGGUUAAUCAGGCCCGGGCUGGCCCAGCACGAGCCUCGUGCCAUGCAUGGGCCGAACCCUUGGCAUAUGGGCCGGCCCGGUCCGGCAUGAUUAAGGCCUCAGCCUGACCAAGCACGUGGGCCGGCCCGAGCAUGCGAGCCCUGCUAGACCUGGGAGCAUGAUGACACUCCACCACCGAAAUUUCCUACAAUCAGCCUACGUAUAUAUACUCAUUUUGCCCUCCAAACCCUAGCUCUCACCCUCCCAGUCCACCUCCAGACUGGCGGCCGCCCCUCCUCCCUUCCCCGGUGGCGACGUGGCCGGCGCCAGCCCUCCGGCGGGCCUCCUCCUUUCCCCGCGCGGUGGCACGGCUGGCGGCAUGCUCUCCUCCCUUCAGGCCUGGUGGCGCAGCCGGCGCAUGGCCGCGACGCAGCGGCACCCGCCCUCCCAUCCCAGCGCGAUGCUAGGCCAGCGUCGGUCCGCCUCGCUUCCCCAUGCAGCGGCGCGGCAGGCGCCCGGCCGCCACCCUUCCCCGUUCGGUGGCGCAGCAGGCCGCUUUGCUUCCCCGCGCGGUGGUACAAGAGCGGCGGCGCAGCGGUACAGGAGCGACGGCGCAGCUAACGGGCCUGCGUGGGCUAAAUGGAUGGGCACGGCCCGUAUAGGUAAUCGGGUCGGCCCGGCACAAAUAACAGAUCUUCGUGUCGUGCUUAAGCCGAGGCCUUGGCACAUGGGCCGGCCCGGCCUGGCACGAUGAGCUAAUCGGACCAAUCAGACCGGAUCUAAUCAGAUCGGGUCGAGUUGGGUCCAGACCGUGCUGUGACGGGCGGCCCGAAUAGCCAACUAUAGGAGGACCGACAGAGGCGCCGCCGCGUUCGGGACGCAGCACCGGUAGCCAAACGACGCAAAUGCCUCCUGUGGGGCCUCAUCCUCCGCCCCAGCGCACACUGAGCGUCGCGGCAGGACAACGACCGGAAUCCGUCAGGCCUGGGGGCUGGGGCGUACGCGUACGCGUUCGCUUGCAAGGGGGGCGGCAUUCCGUAGCAGAUGAAUUGAUAGUUCAGAAAAAUCAUUCUUGGCAGAUCGAAUGAGUUUCGCAACAAAAUAUUUGUUGUGCGCUUUUCUGAAUUUUAUUUGAGGCGCCUUUGUUGUGCGUUUUUCUGAAUUUUAUGUGAGGCGCCAAUUUUGAGAGCGGCGAGCAUGAGCACGGUACAUUAGCAGGUCCUGGCCUUUGGGUAAGUUCUGCCCCAACUGAAAUUUUAGGUGUGAUCCACCGCGGGGUAUCUUACAUAAAAGUAUGAUGCGCAGCUGAGCAUGUGUUUGUAGAGAGCAUACUGCUUAUCGCUAAGCUGAAAGCAACCAGCAGGGGUAAGACUAAUACUCUUGUGUCAUAAAGAUAGUAGGCAAGUAUUUUGAUCAGGGAUGCAAGUUUUAGUUUCUCUGCUGAGUCACAGUCACUGAGUCAACCCAAAACUCAUUAAUUUGAACUAACCUUGAUUUCUAAGCAAAGGAAAUAUUAUGGUAGAAACGAACUAACGAAGUAAUACAAAACUACAUAUUGAUGUCACCACUUGCACGAUGCAUCUCUAGUUUCUCAAAAAAAAAAGUACGUGUUGUGCAUUGUAAUGUGAUCACCCGGAUCUUUCAGGGUGUAUGCUGUGUCUCCGACUCUCCGUAAGACUCCUAUCCUUUUUUUUUGAACUGUAUGACUCCUGUCCUUGCAUGCAAUCAUUCCCUGCUACCGAAACAUGGGGUCCAGUGUGCAUUCACCCACAACCACGCUGCUUCAUUCGUACUCACAGUAGCUUUACUACCAUCAGGAUAUAUAAAUUAUGCGUGAAUUUCACUUGAGACGUUAUCAACUCAGCCUCUUCUUCUCAAGAAAGAAAUAAAAAAAUAAAACCUACUUCUUCUUAGUGUGUCACUCGGCGAACGAACCAUACUCAUGUAUACAUGUUACCUCCUCCACUAGUCUGUGGUCGGCCUCAUUUUUUAGUGUGUGGUUUCACAGUCGUCAAUUCAUCUGGUAGUGGUCACAUGAGAAAAUCUGUAGUUCUUUCAGACUAACUAAAUCCAUUGUUGAGGAACUAUAGUAGCGAAGAGUUUUGAGAAAAAUGGCAUAGGAUAAAUUCUAAGCCUACCCGUCGUACGUUUUUAAUUAAUAAAACCGUGCUGAAACUUUUCAUCGAUCAUUUGCAAUUUUUGCAAGUUAAGAUGCUAAAGUAAUAUCUUUUCAGUAGCCUCCUCCACAUGCCGUGCUUGAGAGGUCAGGCCAUGAAUCGGAGAACAUUCUAGUUGAUAAAUUCAACAAUGCGACCACGGCACAUAGCUGGCGGCUUACUGCCUAGGAUCUGCAGGUCAGAACGCCCGCCGGCCUAACUGUGGACAUUGUGCCAAUCGUAUCUGCUUUGCUCCCUAGAAAAAUAUUUAUCAGCGCUUCUGCGAUUGGCUACCGCAGAUAUAAACUUUGUAAAAACUCUGAAUUUCUUCAAUUGGCUAUAUCUCUUAUGAUUAGCCUAAGUAAUGGACUUCCUUUGCGAUUUCUUCUAUGUUGUACAUUUGUAUGCGAUUCUUGUGGCCCAGUAGUCAUCUUUCAGAAAUGGCAGAAAGGAAGCAUUUCCGUCGAGCGUUGAACAAAACCAGCCUGCCUGUUGGGCAAUGCACUGACGUUCAUAAGCAACGUAUAUUAACAAUAUUAAAAUUCAAAGCAAAUAGAAUUUUUUGCCUAUUCGUACCCGAAAGGAAAUUAGUACUCUUUCAUCAGAAUUGAACGUGCCGUUUCGUCUUAUAAAUAUCCAGCUAAUUAAUUACAACCAUCACCUUCCAAAAAAACACCACACCCCGUUUCAUCUAUAUAUAUGUCCCGCGUUGCCCCUUCUCUUCGUAGUAGCACUACACGUUCGUGUGUCCAACAGAAACUCUCCCCUUUGCACCAUCAGAAACAGAGAGAGUUUCCUUUCAAAAAAAAAAAACAAAGAGAGCUAGUGUGAUACGCUGGGGAUAGGAUAAACAUAGACAUGAAAAGGAACCGGCGACGCGGGUUCAUCAUACUAUUUCAGAAUGGAAGGGAUCAGGAGGAGCGCUCGCACUGCCGGAGCAAGCUUUCCGAGCACAACUAAAUCGACGAUCUCCAUAGCAGAAGUUACUGCUUCUGCAAUCUGCCGCCGCCGACCAAUAUCCCUGCGAGAGACCACCUGAUCGCUGAACCAGCCUCCCGGUCAGGACAGCUACGACACUGCAACGUGGCGCGAAGACGGGAGCCGGGCAGACGCCCAUGGUUGAGGCGCGGCCGCGCUCGAGCCGAGUGCCUCUAGCGUCUCCUCUCUCGCGUGGCUACCUUGAGAGGCCGUCAGGAGUAGAGGCUUUUCUGCCUCCGACCAGGGCCGGUAGCGGGGCGAACGCGCCGCCUCCGGGCCGUCCGCAGGCGCCACCUUAUCGAGCUCGAUCAAGUCCUUGUGCACUUGUGUGAGCAUCUGCCGCACGUCUUGCAUACGCAAGAUAUGCUAAUCAUAUCGCACCAUGAUUCGUAGCUGGCCGCAGUAGCUCUCAAGUUCACCGUACAUGUUACGGAUAGUAGGCAAGAGUAUUUUGAUCAGGGAUGUUCUCUGAGUCACUGGAUCGACCAAAAACUCAUUAAUUCGAAGUAAUCUUGGUUUCCAAGCAAAGGAAAUAUUAUGGUAGAAAAAACGAACUAAUAACAAAGUAAUACAGAACUACAUAUUGGCUUCAGCACUUGCAUCUCUAGUUUGUCAGCGUGUAUAUGCAGUGUCUCCGUAAAACCUCUGUCCUUGCAUGCAAUUAUUCGCAGCUAUCGGAACAUGGGGUCCAGUGUGCAUUUACCCACAACCACGCUGCUUCAUUCGUACCCACAGUAGCGAUAGUACCAUCUAGAUAUAUAAAUUAUAUAUGUGUAAAUUUCACUUGAGAUGUUAUCAACUCAGAACCUUCUUUUUUCUCAAGAAAUAAAUGAAAAAUGAAACCUACUUCUUCUUAGUGUGUCACUAGGCGAACGAACCAUGCUUGUGUAUAUAUGUUACCUCCUUCGCUAGUUUGUGGGCAGCCUCUUUUUUUUUGUGCGGUUUCAUAGUCGUCACUCCACCUAGUAUUGGUCACAUGAGAAAAUCCAUAUAUAAUUCUUUUAAGCCAUCUAAGUCCAUUGUUGAGGAACUAUACUAGUUAAGAGUUUUGAGAAUGGAUGGCAUCAGGAUAAAUUCUGAGCCUACCCGUCGUAAGUUUUUAAUUAAUAAAACCGUGCUAAAACUUUUCAUCGAUUAUUUGCAAUUUUUGCAUGUUAAGAUGCUAAAGUAAUAUCUUUUCUACAGCCUCCUCCACAUGCCGUUCUUGAGAGGUCAGGCCAUGAAUUGGAGAACAGUCUAGUGGAUCAAUUCAACAAAGCAAAAUAAUGCGACCGCGGCCUAUAGCUGGCGGCUUACUGCCUAGGAUAUGCAGGUCAGAACGCCCGCCAGCCUAACUGUGAACAUUGUGCCAAUCGUAUCCGCUUUGCUCCCUAGACAAACAUUUAUCAGCGCUUCUGCGGUGUGGUGGUCUUUGCGUCAACUACCGUAGAUAUAAACUUUGUAAAAACCCUAAGUUCCUUCAAUUCAAUUGGUUAUAUCUAUUAUGAUUAGCCCAAGAACUGGACUUCCUUUGAGAUUUCUGUUGUGUUGUACGUUUGUAUACGAUUCGUGUGGCCGGCGCAGGAGUCAUCUUUCAAAAAUGGCAGAGAGGACGCAUUUCCGUCGUGCGUUGAACAAAACCAGCCUGCCUGUGGGGCAAUGCACUGACGUUCAUAAGCAGUAUAUACUAUUAACAAUGUUAAAAUUCAAAGCACAUAGUAGAAUCUUUUGCCUAUUCGUUGCCCCUUCUGUUCGUAGUAGUGAUACGCUGGGGAUAGGAUAAAUAUAGACAUGAAAAGGAACCGGAGAAUGGAAGGGAUCAGGAGAGGUCGCACUGCCGGAGGAAGCUCCCGCUGCGCAAGUAAAUCGACGAUCUCCAGAGGAGAUGUUAUUGCUUCUGCUGCUGUCGACCAAGACCCCUGCGAGAGACCACCUGACCGCUGAACCAGUCUCCCGGCCCGGACAGCUACAACACUGCAACGUGGGGCGAAGACGGGAGCGGGGCAGGUGCCAUUGGUUGAGGCGCGGCCGUGCUCGAGGUGGGAGCUUCUUGUUUCUCCUCUGUCGCAUGGCGACCUAAUGGCUAUUUCUGCUUCCAGACAAAGUUGAAACCCAGUAAUACUAUAAAGGCCCAGAUACGAAUUGGCCCGGCCCUCAUACUGUGGUAGUCGGUGUCUUGGGCCAGCGAGGCCCAUCUCCAUUUGGGUUUCACCAGCAACGUGGCAUGGGCUGCCAACAGACGAGCCCUAGUAGUGCAAUCUGUCUAUAUCUCGCAGCAAGGUCCACUGCUUUUCCAACAAGUCAACAACAGCAUGCCCUCGGUUCUCGUCCAUGUCCAGCAGGCUGCCUCUAUAUAUACGCACUCAUGCAUGGCCUCACUUUGCACUGUCAUUUGAUGAUUAUGCACUGUCAAUCUGUCAUUCCUGUGUCCCCUAGCUCAUUACUCCAUUAAUUUCCAAGCGACAAGGCAGCUGAAGAGUCGUCGUUGCCGGUUCACAGUAGGCUAGAAAUAAAGCUAGCUAGGGAUCGAAAUGGUGACGAGCUCGCUCUAGGAAUGGAAGGCGUCAGGAGGACUUGCAUGGGAAUGGUUAUUUCUUCAGCUGCAAACUCGGCCUGGAGACUAGCUGAGGCGCAGUGCAAGCGUGGUCGCUUCAAGUUGAGAUAAAGCCGCACUCGGGAAAUGGGACUUUGUCGAGCUGGGACGACUCGUCCCUUGAGUGCUCUUGGUGACUGUCCGACAGUGAACAGGCGGAUCGGUAGCCAAGCGCGUGUACCGGCCUAUCCGGCCAUCCCUCGCUCCCAGCGACUGCAAGAACGUGAACGAUAGGCCAUUGGCACUUGUAUUUUUAAAGGUGUUAACGUGCCACAUGUGUUUCAACUUCAGCAUGUAGACACUAGUAGACAGGUCAUUGCACAUGGAAAGAUUUAGUUAUGCACAAAGAGUGGAUAUCUACGCACAUUAUUUCACGGCAACGUCAUGACCACCAGUUCGCUGCUGCAUUGUACACAUUGUACCAUCUACAACUGAUCUGCCUAGCUAACUCUAAUUCUAUUUUUAAUUGAGACAUGUUAUCAAACACUUACUCGUCUAAAAAGGAAGUACAAAGAAGGCUGGAACGUUAUCCUUUACCUUUUUGUUAAAAAAAAAUCCUAGUGUCACACACUGACACACCCCAUCACGCUUGCUCGUGUACAUAUUAUGCGCCGUAAAAAAGGCAUAUAUAUAUGUAUAUAUAUAUAUAUAUUACCUCCUCCGCGGCUACCCUCCUCGCUGUCAUCAGCCUCCUUUUGUUUGUUUAUUACAUAUAGUCCCUAGUCAAUAAUGGCAAAGAUUUUUCAGAAUGGAGGGCAUUGGGAGAAAUUUUGAGACCCCCUGGGUAACUGUUGCAAUAUAAUCAUCUUCAAAAUUUCUAUCGCUUUCUGCACGUCAAGAUGCCUAAGUUAUGUCACGCUGCACAGGUUUGGGCUUUCGAUGCUUCCAACCCAUUGAGGCUCAGCAGCAGAAUUUUGCAAACUAGCAUCCCUGCAUCGGAUACAGAUAUGCUCCCGAUAUGUGUAUCAGACAUCCUCACGUUUUCCAGUCAAAUAGUUCUGAGAUGGAUAUUUCUGGGGAGCCAUGAGGGGCGCUGCACACAAGAAACCAGCUAUGACAUGCCUACCACUACCACACGUUAUCAAACUCACUCGAUCAUGACAUACAGCAUCCGUUGAACAGCUUCUGCUUCACCUGAAUGUGUGUAAUCCAAAUAUGUGUGUGUAUGUAAGAAAUUGGCAGCUAGUCACGAUGUUACGCCCACAGUCCAGCAAGGAAAUGCAAAAUCACUGGCAAGGCCUAGAAAAUACAAAAAAUAUUAACAACCACACUUUGGGCUGACUCCCUCUAUUAUUAUUUUUUUAAAAAAAGAGGUCAGGAGCUCUGGCAGAUCAUUUAAGAGAGAAGGUGAGCACCCGCGCGACCGUGCGCUCGAGCGGGCGGGCUGGCUUCCGCACCUGGGGAGCCAACCAUCCGAGCUAACGCUCGGUCUCCUCCCUCUAUUAUUUUCCAGCCUCUCUCUCUCUCUCUCGUCCUUUUCUUCUAUGCACACGUGUCAAGAAAUGAAUUGGCUAGAUGGUGCUCAAUCCGCCCUACAGCGCCGACUUCCAUGUGGCUGCUUGGUCCCAUGUAAAGAAAAUAUGUAAAUGUAACACCCGGUUUCCUGCAUACAUGGAGAACAUUGUCCUGCCUUUUGCCCCUUCCCUUCGUGUUGGUGCCACAUUAUUCAGCGUCCAAUAAAAGUUGCUGCCCUUUGCAUGACCGGAGAGAGUGUACGUGGCACGGUUGUUCUUCAAUUGAUUAUUAAGCAUAGACAUGCAUGCUGCGCUAAGGAAUUGGCGAUGUGCUAGUAGUAGGUUUAAUUUGAGAAUGGAAGGGAUCAGGAGGGCUCGCAUCAUUGUGGGAGGAAGCCGCUGCGGCACAAGUUGAUUAAGUAUCACCGCUGCAGACCAAUUGGUCUCGGCAAGUUGCGAUUGCAGACCAAGACUUAUGCAAGAAACGGCUUGAUUGGACACAGCCGAUCGGGGCUCAAACGUGUUCGGGGGCCAGGACACGGGAGUCUUCUUCUCUUCUCCGAAAGCAGGUGGCCCAAGGCGAGCGGAUCCGCCGCCUACGGCCGAGCAUGCCGCGAGCGAGAUCAAAGACUGCCACCUCCAUGCGCGCGAGGGCUUGCCUAUGCUAAGGUGGCGCGCGCGUGGGGUGCAGGCGGCACGAUAGUAUAUUAUUGCAGCCGGCCAAGUUCACUGCCCGUUCAUGCGGGCUAAGCCACGCAAGCCUAGCUACUGGCGUUAAGAUUUUUUCCCCCUUAAUUGUAAGGAGCCAAUAUUUUGCGUUGGUUAGAUUCAAGACCAAGGUUCAUAACUUGUUUUUGAAGAGAUAAGUCCGUUGCUGGUAACUUGAACAUUUGAAAGUGUUAGGUGUAACAUUUACGUUUUUCAGCUUCUACAAGGUACACCGUACCCGUCGUCUUAUAUUGCAGAUGGAGAGCUUUGGUUUAUGUAAGGUAGACAAGUUUUUGCGUGUCAGAAUUGUUAAAGAAAAGAAUAAAUACUUGCAUCUGCUGCUAGCUAGCACACCCUCCACUGCUUUUCCGACAAUCCCGUGCACUCUGUUCUUGUCCAGCAAUAAUUGACACCCGGCUGCCUCUAUAUAUACCCACGCGAAUGCAUGGCCUCACUCUGCACCUUCAUCAUAUGGUGACUAUACACUGACACGCAUGUUAGAGAUCAAAAUGGUGACGAUCGAGCUGAGCUUUGGGAACGGAAGGCGUCAGGAGGGCAUGUAUGGGAAAAGCAAUACACUCGCUUGCAAUUCAGGCCGGCCCUGCAGCCGGCUGAGGUGAAAAGAAACGACGGAGAAAGGGAUUCAGCGGCCUGGCGCGGCCAAGUUGAAUCGAAGGCACCACUACACUCAGGACAAGCACCUAAAAAAGAGAAGGGAUUUAGCGGCCCCGCGCAGCCAAGUUGAAUUGAAGGCACCACCACACUCAGGACAAGCCCCUGAAAACGAGGUCCGGAGGCUCUCGUAAAACUUCUUAAUUAAUUAAAACAGGGUCCUUAGUGAAAUCAGGGCGCCAAGCUAGUCUAUACUAGCACGACAAGUUUUCCUUUCAGAAGGAUAUCGUGAUGGAUGAGUUUAACGUGAAAAAUUGAAAUGCCUUCUCUAUCACCUUAUCUGAAUCUAGUGUACUAGUUUAGAGCAAACCAUUUCAUUCUCAACCCACCGCUAGGUCCGGCUGCAAGGCGGGCCCCCUUCCAGUCUGAGUAUAAUGAAAUAUUAAUCCAAUUAUAUCACUUUUGUAUAAAAAUGUUUACAUCUUGUAAGGAUAAGUGUUUGUUAAAAUUAUUACAAUGUUUGAAUCAGAAAAUACAUGCGCAUUGUAUACAUAUAUAUAGUACCGUCUUAUGUUCUUAUUAACAAUUCUGCCAAACUUUCUAAUUGACACAUGCUAUCAACUUUGGCACUUACUCGUCUAGAUAGGAAAUAAGAGGAACUCUACCUAUUACUGUCAAAAGCCCGGAUCGUUAUCAUGUGCCCUCUUUCUUAAUAAAAAAAACUCCUAUUGUCACACAGCCGGCCGGUGACGCUUGCGUGCGUACAUAUGUACUGCCUCAUUUGCAGCUCACUACUCACUCCUCGAUCAGCAUCCUUUUGUUUGUUUAUAGUCCCUACUGCUAGUGCUGGUUUGAUGACGAAAUACAUGGGUUAAUGCUACUGAAACAAAGGGUAUGAUGAUGAUGAAUUGCAAGAACGAGAUGGUGUGCCAGUUGUUGAAAGGCGGCCGGGUAACCAUGUCCAGAAGAAAUAACGGCAAAGAAUUUUCGGAAUGGAGGGCAUCAGAAUAAAUUAUGAGACCAGCAGGCUGGGUGUUGGAGUAUAAUCAUCAUCCAAAUUCCUAUCACUCUUCAGCUGAAGAUACCAAAAUCGUGUCAUACACUUAUAUUGUAUUGGAUGAUCUUUGUAUACAAACACUUUCACUAUUUUUGAUCUCAUAAAAUGAUUCAGAUAAAUUCUGGGAUGCCUGCCAGCUGAUACUUCCGGGGAGCCACAUGAGAGGCAGUGGAUGCUAGACCUGCCUUUACCUAAUAUCAUUAUGGAAGAAUGGAAGCUGGUUUUUUGUAAAUCGUACUCAAUCUAGAGCGUGCAACAGCGUACAGCAUUAUAAGUUGGCUAGGUCAUGAUAGAGCAUCGAUCUCCAGGUUCUCAGCAAGCCAACACACACACACCGUAAAAUUGUGUAACUCGAAUGUGUGUGUGUGUGUGUGCAAGAAAUUGGCAGCUAGAUCAUUUGUUCCCUUCGUGUUAGUUGGUGCUACAUUAAAAAAAAUAUCCAUUAAAAGCUGUGCAAAUUAAACAUGGUCCUGUUCUGCUCCUUCCCUUCGUGUUAGUUGGUGCUACAUUAAAAAUGUCCAUUAAAAUCUAAUACGCUUUAAUUUGCAUGAACAGAGAGAGCGUGUAUCUUCUCUAUUAAUACAUACUCCAUAGACCGGCAGGUAACUUGUUUGGUUCUUUUCCAAUAAAAAAAAAGACCAGAGAGAGUGCGAGACGGUUGCUAUCCGCCAAUUGAUAUUUGAGCUUGAGUUGCUGGGGAUAAACAUAUAUAGACGUGCCGCUAAGUAAUUGGUGAUCUGCUCAAAUUUAAUUUGAGAAUGGAAGAGAUCAGGAGGACUUGUAUUGCCGGAGGAAUUCAACCAUCCGCGUGCAGAAAUUGGUUAACGAUCUCCACAGGUGCUCCAGUACCUGUGCCACUUGCUUUGGUAGCCCAAUGCAAGGCCCCAGCAAGAAACCACUUGCUUUGGUUGACUGAAUCAAUAUGUACAGGAUGAGCACAAUAAAUAUUUGGUUGGUUGCAUUAACAUAUUUUAUAUUAGUUUGAAUUAAACAGACAAAUACUAAGAUCAUAUCUAAUUUUCUUGAAUCCAUAAUAUAUUACUCAUUUUAACAUAUUAAGCCUUAAUCGACUUUGAAAUAUACUAAUAUGCCUUAAAAUAUGCUAAUCAUUAGCAAUGCUAUACGUACGACCGGGAAAACCGACUCACGUACGACCGACGUCUUCUUUUCACAGCAUCAUUAAGCAAAGCGGCCAGCUCUUAACCUCUUACAUGGGCCCGAUACUAAGAAGCACAGGCCCAGACCCAUCAUUAGCUGUAUCUGACGUACAACGCUUGAGUAUUCUAACCCUAAUAUCGUUGCUUUACUACUUAUUAGCAUUACGAUACUAAUUUACAUAGCUGAAUCUAAAAUUCUGUUUACCUUUGUAGGGAAAAAAUGAUGUCAUAGACUUUCUGUCCCAAAACCAGGAAUAAAAUAAGAAGAACAAUCGGAACCCGGAAGAUAGUUCGUUUCAUACUGGUUUGGAACUAAUACUUGUAAAUUUCUCUCAUCGAUCAAACAAUUUGCUUCUAGCUUAGGACAUAAUUGUAUCUUCAUUUUUCUGUAUGCAAUCCUCAUGUGAAAGAAUUCUGAACAAGUGUUUCGCUAUGAUCUUGGUGCCAAAUUAUUGCUGAAUUUGUUGUUUCAUUCAAUAGAAAUAGUAGACAGUCUGAAUGAGUAGACAAAUGUGGCAUCGGGUCUGGUACCACACUAGGCCUGUGCGGCUUGGCAUCAGGCCUGCUACGAGACUAGUACGGCAAGAGGUAGGAGCUAGCCGCUUAGCUUAAUGACGCCAUGAAAAGAAAACAUCGGUUGUACGGGAGUCGGCUCCCCCGGUCGUACGUAUAGCACGGUUGAUUAGCUAAUACCAUCAUUAAUUUACUAAUAGACUGCAUCUCACGAGCCUGGCUUCGGAGAAACGGAUUUCAAUCUCGUUUCGCGGAGCCAGGAUCGUCGGCAUGCCUCUACCCAGACAACCUAAACGUCCAGCUGUUGAUCCUUAGAGCCUGGUUAAGGCAUAUAUGCAGGAAAACAAACGCACCCUAAGAUGAUACUAACUGAAAGGAUGUUUAUAUUUUAUAGACCUAAGUACCUUGCUUUUGGAUGGCAUGUACGAUAUUUUUUUUAUAAAAAUGAUGACAUGUGCGAUUGGCUCACGUGAACUAACCAUGAUUGGAUACUUUGACUCGUACUGGUUAGGAUCAACCUAGAGAUCCAAAUGCUAAUUAACACAUCUAGUAGCAGCAAGAAAGAAGAUAAAGCAGAUGCGAACCAUGUCGUGAUCAUGAUCAAAUAAAGGCUUAGGCAGCCUGAAACAGCGGUGCAUCAGAACUCAAAGCAAGCUCGAUCGCUCUCUCUCUCUCCCAACCAAGGAAAACCACCAAACAUGUUCACCAACCCUGUGUACCCGUCUUCUCCAGCAUUACAUUUGACACCAACAGGCUGCCUCUAUAUAUAGUUAUAUACACAUCACAUACAUUGGUCUCACACAUUGCAUCGUCGUCGUCAUUUGGUGGUUGCAUACUGUCACAUGCAUCUGUCAAUCAAGUCAUUACUCCAAUCCAUCUUCUAGUGACAUGGCAAGAAGGCUGCAGUCUAGUACUAUGAUUAGAUCAAUCAGUGAGUAAUUUGCAUUCAGUCGUCGUCGUUGCUUGACAGUAGGCCAGCAGAUAGCAGACAUGGAUCGAUCAUAUCAAACGGUGACUUUUUUUUUUGGGAGGAUAUCAAACGGCGACUUACCAGAGCUUUGCAUUGGGAACGGAAGACACUAUGAGGGCUUGCGUGGGAAAGGUAACAUAUCCGGCAGCAAACUGGCCACGAGACAGGCCGGCGGAAUCGGAGGCGCGGCCACUGAGGUGGAGGUGCGGCCUCACUCGAUCGGGACAUGGGAGUUUCUCGCGUGUCCUCGGGCGCCCCCUGCCUCGUGGUGACUGCCGCAGUGGGCAACCUAUAGUAGGGACGUAGGGUCGGCAGCCAGCAAGCCAAUAAACGCAGCGCAUGGGUGCUGCCUCCCGGCCAUCCCCCGCUCCCGAACCUGUGGAGACGGUCGAAAACGACAGGUGCCAUGGCUUACUUGUAAUCGGCGAACUAGGAGUUGAGGAGCCGGAGUCAUCUGUACGCGCUGCAUUGUAAUCGGACACAUUCGCUGGCCAUGUAUUCUUACCAGUUAAAACCCUCCUCUCCGAGAGGAGGAACCGCACAUGAUUGUAUGGACAACGUCAGGCCCGUACCUAAGAUUUGGAGGCCCUGGUGCGAAAAUACCAAAUGAGGCUCCUAUAAUAAAGAAAUAUAUAGAUUACCAAAAUUUAAAGCACGUACUCCAUUAUUAAAUAACAUAUUUUUUACACUACUAAGAACCACAAAAGGCAUAUUUUUUAAAUACUAAGAAGUACAAUGGGUAUACUCCCUCCAUCCAAAAAAUAAGCUAUUAAAAUAUCUAGAAAAUAAGUUAUCUUACCCUAGAAAGUGCAUGUGUGUGUAAAAAUAUUUGCUCAUAUUUAUUUUUAAAAUAAAUAUGAGAAAAUAUGGUAAUUUUAUCUUGUUGUUAAUCUUUUGUAGAAUUUAAUAACUUGUAUUUUGGAAUGGAGGAAGUAGAUGCUAAAAGAGUAAAAGGAUAAUCAUUCUUAUUUAUAUCUUUUUUAACUUCUACUAGUAUCACACAUGGCCGCGAAGGGCGACGAGCCGGCGAGGCGUCCGUCCCUGAUAUCCCAGCAGCUGUGCAUGGGCUAUGGCGUCUCGUGUGUGGCCUGUCCACCUGUGGGCUAAUUUGAUCUUUGAAACUUUGAAGGAUGUGGCCUGGUGCAGUAGCUAAUUCACAUAGAAGCUAAUUAACUGCUACGUAACUAAUAAUUAUUAACUAAACGGGCCCUCUCAAAAUUGGAGGUAGUCCCACUUAAACCGUGCGAUCGACGGGCCUGUACAUCAUGUGUAUUAUGGCAAAAUGCGAAUGCGUUUUUAAUUUCUAUUCAGAAUUCAUGGCAAGUUGGCAAUCUAUACAUUAAUCUUUGCUCACAAAAUUAAACUAGCUACGGAGUAGUAUUUUUUGCAAGCCACCAACUCUACCUAUCUGUGCCUUAAUUCUGGUUGUGUACUGGUCCAUAUCAACUGAUGACCCUGCCUGCCAUCUUGAGAGUUUUCUACGUGAAAGGAAUCAGUGCUUGUAGUCUAAAACGGGGUGAAAUAGACAACUUAAAAUCUUAACAUAUGGUUUGAACUAGUUUGCACAAAACGUAAACUAGAACAAGCUAUUUAGAUGUGCAAGUAUGGUUCUUCCAGUGACAGAACCUCAUCCCAAAGAGUUUUGCAACUUAUAGCCAAUUCUACAAGAUACUAUUCUAUAAAAAAGUAAAGGCACACAAGUUGCAAGUAUGAAAUGUGGAAACGUAAAGGAGGGGAUGAGGGGAAGCAAACUCUUGACGCGUGAUUUAUCCUGUAGUAUCGGUAGGCACAAAGCCAUCCCUAAUUCACGUUGUUAAAGCACUCACAAAGAGCAUUAUUUCCCGAUCACCAAAUCUCUUCCGAGAGCACCUCUUGACUUGCCAUAAAGGCUCGGCCACUGAGGCUCACGCCAAAUCUAUGGGUCACCAUGAUGCCGCCUUCACUACGGAGCUUCCCACGAAUAAGGGUCUCCUCGUACCCGCACAAAGCCAUCGUUGCUGCUCCACACCAAGCCGGAGGAUCGAAAACUUGCCAGCGAGCCACGAAAACUCUAAGGGGCUGGCACACCAACAUACAAGCUUAAAAUUCACUUAAGAACCAGCACAAGGUUAGAACACCUUGCUCUCAUACUCUCUCUAGAACUAGCCUAGUAUUACACCUUACAGAGCUUGUGCUAAACCUAACAAUUUGAUCAAUAGCUAUUUGGUUGGCUUGGAUAACUUCAGCAGAGUUUCUGUAGCUUCUCAAGAACUCCAGCAAUCUCAAAUAACCCGGGAUGAGGCCUUAUAUAGGCUAGAGGGCAGCUCAUAGCCGUUGGUUGCUUUUACCAAAAGGUAUAAAGCAUCGGUUAAACCGGUCGCCACCGUUGGUUUAACCAGUCACAAUCACCCGUUGAACUUCAAUAGCCUUCUCCUACUGACAUCAUUUGCACCGACGCCCGUCGGUUUAACCGGUCCUUAAAGAUUCCUCAGCUAGGCUACUGUACACUCCUAUGGUACUGAGUAAUCCCAGCACUAAUGCACCGACGUCUCUGCUAGGUUGUCAGUAUAAUCGGUGCUGGAGCAUGUUUUCUCAAGACCUUUUUGGAGCAACACAUGCGUACUGAGUAACCAACUGAUCCUUGCACCGACACCACUGAGCCAAGCGUCGGUUUAACCGGUGCUACUAGCAUUUUCUGCACUGCAUCGUUGUUGCAAUUACCAAUGCACCAACCCAUAAUUCUGGGACCGUAGAUUUAACCGCAUGUAAUCAUGCUACAGCCUUAUCCAAUUCAUCUCUACAUUUUCACUACAACUUGGACAUCUUAACAGCGAUUUGGACUAUCUUGUAUAUGGAUUGAACUCCAUCCAUGGGAUCUAAAAAUCUUACAAACUUGGGCUCACAAACUCGUUAGUUCUAUUGACUAUAUUGUCAUACAGUUACCAAAAUCAUAAUCAUGAUCUAAUAGGACCAUAUUCCUUACACUAUAUCAUGUAUAGUAUACUCUUCACUCUAUAUAGUGUCUUCGCAUAAAACUUGGGGCGUACUAUAAGCUAAGAAAACGAGCGACGAUGAGUCAGAUGACUGCAUGUAGGGAAUAAUAUGAAGCAUUCCUUGUUGACAUGUGGUUAAGAAUAUGGCGACGAGGUAGCUAUGCGAAUGGAAGGCAUAAAGGAAAACAAUAUUAGAAGCAGUCGGGGACUAGGUAGCUCAAAAUUCAACACUAGCAUACGGCAGUGUCCAUCAUAGAUCAUAUGUGAUCAUACUUCUCCAAGAGCUGCGAGCUAUGUGUAGUUUAUUUAGUUAAAUAUCAGUUUUCAUAUCAAUCGUCGUCGAGUUCAGUCCUAUUAAUUAUCAGCAAUUCCGCACCACAUUGAACCGGACAUUCAGCAGUGCUAGUGUUUCAGCCAACUUUAGGUCUGGCGUUGCAUGUUAACUACAGAAAUCGAUCAGAAGCUACAUAUUGGCAAAGCGUUAUCGAUCCUUAGGUGAAUGACUCAACUUUGAAAUACGCCUGGCCGUCAGGACGGACGAGCGGUGAUCAUUGUAUAUAUUGAUCAAGAUACUCAAGAGCAUGUAUUACAUGGAGUGUGCCCUUUCGGUCAUUGGUAUUGUGCCUGAUCUCCUACAUUACUUCUAGUGUUCCUAGGAAGUGUGACGCUGAGCCAUCAACCUGACGCGCACACCACACCAGCUCUCUGUUACAACAUUACUUUUCUGUAAUGAAAUUAGAUAAAAUUUAGUAAAGCUACCUACAAGAUGCAUAUAGUCGUUCUAGCCUAAAACAUCACCACAAUGCGGCAAAUAGUCUCUUGACAAACUUUUUUUUUAAAAAAAAGAAACUCUAAAGAGCAAAUUUAUUAUUGAAUAAUUGCGCCUAUGUCUGGCAAAGACUUUCAUCACAUGAGCAAAUCCUAUAUGGUUUCCAGAAAAUUGGCACUAUAUAUGGUUUCCACACAGUCCAACAUAUAGCCAUUACUUCCUACCUACCCUAGUUACUCUUCUAAUGUUAUCUAACAUGUAUACAUGUAGCCUCCUCUAUAUAUAUAAAUACACACAUGGUUUUAGCUUGAUCUUUCAUAAUGUGUGGUGGUAUUGUCUCACAUUUCUCCGUUACGCAUCUUUAGCUGUUCCGGUUUAACCGGGACAACAAGGAUUUUCCAACCGGAACAAAUCAACAAUUAUGUACUAGUGUGCUACCUACUCUACCUUGCAUGAUACGAGAGUGGCAAUGUAUGCUCAUGACUAGAAGAGCACUCACGUUUAUGUGGGAGUAAACACGCGUGAUGAGAAAGAAAACAAUUGGUAGAAGUUUGAGGAACGGAAGGCAUCAGGAGAACUUGCCCAAGAAAAAUAAUGUAUGUGAUUAGUUACGCAUCUUUGACUGGCGCGUCUUUCAGCUAUUGCAUCAGAUCAGAGGAGGGACCCCAGGACCUUGGACAGGUCUUCCAGGUUGCGGUCUACCUGGGCAUUGUAGGUGAAUCGAACGAUGUCCUGCCGCCCUUGCCUUGACAGCAGAGGAACACGUCCUUCGAUCGACGACAAAGGUGCCGCUGUCGAUUCUUCGCAGGCACUGUCCCGACCGGAACAGAUCGUCGAGGAUGGCGAAGAAGCCCCGGAUAACGGCCUGAAUCCGGAGAGGCAGCAAGCGGACCACCGAGGGAACAGGCGGAUCUCCGGCUCUGAACCGGCAGUGCUCCCAUGACAACGAUCCACGUCGGCGAAAUGCUUUUCCAUUGGUACAGACUGGAGAUUGAUCGAGAAAGAACAACGAUCAAAUCAAGAAAUGCAAUCUCAAAGCGCUCAUGUUGAUGUGUGGGGUAAAUAAUAUGUGUGAUGGAACCAGCCCCAUUCGGACCGCCCUACGAGGUACAACGCCGCGUCCUUCUCGGUAGUGGUGUUGAGGCGCUCCCCUAGCGGGGAGCUUCAGCUCAUCAGGCGCGGGAGGACCAGCUACAUGUACUGCCCCAAAGCCAGGAUCUCAUACUUCGGCUUUCUUGAGCCUGCUACCUAACGAGUAGGAAACAGAUAGACGAACACACUCCUGUUCCACUUCGAGUAUGUACCUGAUUACUAGUACUCUUGAGUGAGUGAUGAGUGAAUUUGUUGUUGAUGAGGAGCACAUACAACGACAGUGCUAGUUUGUCUCUGUCCAAAUGUGUAUAUUUCAUUCAUAUACAGUUCAGAAUAAAAACUGACAAGUUUUUAUAUUCAUUCAUAUAUAUAUAUAUAUAUAUAUAUAUAUAUAUUGGUGUGUCUCUUCUGUCAACAGUAGAAGUAGGAUACAAAUAUAGGAUAUCCAUGACAUGGAUGAACAUCACGGUGUUGCUACUUGUGGAACAUUUAUGGACAAUGGCUGGCUGGCUGGCUGGCUUUGUUUCAGCAUGUAUUCUUCAUUCGGCUUCCACUACUCACGAUCUUACCAACAACUGACAGCCUCUCCCCUCUCCUACAUAUUACAGUAGUAGUUACUUCCUCCACUGCUUGGCCCAGCUCCUGUCGCUAGUCGCUAUGCGACUGUACUACCAGUCUACCACCACCACAGUCCAGUGUCCACAUCAAUCUAGUUCCAGUUGCGGUUCGCAUAGUGAGGCGAUUUGAGAAUGGAGGGCAUCGGGACGAAUUCUUAGACGCGCGACCAAAGUAAGUGGUGGCCAUCAUCGAGAUUUCUGAAUAUUUUUUUGUUAACUUCUGCAGAAGAUACAUGUCUAAGUAGUGUUUAGAUCCAAAGUGCAAAAGAGCAAAAGGACAAAAAUUUUGCCAUUUGCCAAAAGUGGCAAAAGUUUUGCCAUUAGGGGUGUUUGGAUCCAAAUGGCAAAAAUUUUGGCAAAAGCUCAUUUAAACAUCUUUUCUCCCUCUCCUAUCGCCUUUCCCGCCACCUCUUUCCCGCCAUUUCAUACAGAGUGCAUAAAAUUGACAAUCCAAAAUUUAUACAGUCCAAACCAAAGUGCAUACAAUUAUUUAUCCAAAAUUUAUACAGUUCUAUAUAAAGUUGCUGUUUUCUUUUGCUAUCUGUUUUUGCUGUUUUCUUUUUAUCAUAGGGUGUUUGGGUCCAAAUGGAAAAAAAGAGCAAAUUUUUUACUAUUUGCCCUUUUGCCAAAGGAUCCAAACAGGCCCUAAAAGUUAUAUACCUGCCAUUUCGCGGUUGCAGAGGUUCAGUCUUCCCGACCAGAACGCUCUGCAUAUCAGAGAUCUACGAGGAUGACACCGACGGAGCCCGGGUGGGCGACUUGUGCAUGCUCGAUGGCUUGCGACCACGCGUGAUUGUCCGCAGCUGGCAGAGGACGAGAGUUACGUUGGGCGCCCGCGUGAUCUCUGCUUCGUUGUUCAGAUGCAUAUAAAUGCCCAGCGUUGGAGAAGAGACUCGGAAUACCAGCAGCGCGCAGCUCAGGUUCGAGGCGAUGCAGACUGACGAUGUUGGUGGUUAUCGCUAAUCGGCAUGCACCGCUUGAGAACGUGAGGACGUGGAACUGCAGCUGUGUUGUAAUUAGUGUGUCCAUGUUGACAAAAUUUGUGAAAAGGUCUUUGGCUUGUGAUUCGUGGCUCCAGAACUCUAUUUCCUAUCUUAAUGAAGGGCAGAGCUCCAGCUCCUGCCAAUUUGGUUCAAAAAAAAAGUUCAUACUAUACACCCCCAUAUCUGUGUUUUAUGAUCUGGAAGCUUGAUUACACACAAUCAACUCAUCAACCCAUGGAUUUUUCCUUGUAAAAGACAAGAAGACAGUGGGGUUCGAAUUGUCAUGUAAGACAGUAUCUAUGUGAGUAAUUAAAAUGGACUUUUUCCUCUAGAUAGUAAACUCAUGUGAAAGGCCUAAUAUUAAUAUAUUAUCACGUUUUACAGUGUAUGACUGCAAGUUUCAAGUUCCCUCGGAGGCAUGGUGACCAUCCUAAUUUUGCUUCAUCAUAAUUCAUUUGUUUCAAAAGGAAAAACUUAGUUCGGUGCAUAUCUUUUGAUACAUGAUACUAGGAUAGACAGAAAUGGUUGAACAUCCUAAUUUUGCUACUUCUAGAACAUGGAUACUCCGUAGAGUAGUUGCACACCACGGCAGGCUGGCUUUCUUUCUUUCUUUCUUUCCUUUUUCCGCAUUGCUGUGGUUGUUGAGUUGUAUCAUAGACACGGUGCACGUAUUCAUUUGUUUCCAACAACUGCCAGACUCCCCCCUCCUACUUACUCACCUGGCCAUGGUCGUGAUGUACACAUUAGUUACUUCAUGUUUUCAUCCACUCCUCUUUGCUCAGCUCCUCCAUACUAUGCGACUGUACCGCCACUGCAGUCCACGAUCCAGUUCGCGUCAGUCUGAAAUCUGAAUAGCGAUGCUCUAUUUGAGAAUGGAGGAGUAGAGCUAGAAUGCACCAGGGCCCAGGCCACGAUCUCUUCGUUGUUCAGAUGCAGAGGAAUUACCCCGCGUUACAGAAGACUCUCGGUGGCUACAAUGAAGUUUGCAGCAGACGGGUUGUAUCGUGAUUGGCAUGCACAGCUUCUCGAUGAGACGAUGAUGUAUGGAUGUCUCCUGUGGCUGGCUGAUGUCUUGAGAACGGCGCGGCAGGCAGAACGUAGAAAACCGCAGCUGUGCUGGAAUUAACGGGCUCAUGUUCUGACCGAACUGUUGGAAUUAACGGUAGUUAUUAGGCUGUGCUGCGACGAGCUUGGGGAACGGAAGGCAUUGGCAGAACUGGGAUGGGAAAGGUAAAGUGUUCAGCAUGGAGUUUAGUUAUAGCUUACACAUAGGUCUGAACUAAUAAUGUAAAUAAACGGCCAAAUAACAUCACAUUUUUGCAGGAACAACUGCACAUUUCGACGCCUGCAGCUUGAUUAUAUGUAAAAUUCCUUAUUUGACACCGGGAUAAAUCUCAAUUUCUUCUUUGCCCCCGAAAUUUUUUCCCCCUUUUACGGUACCGAGUUACUGACUCUUAACGUCCAUUCUUAUUUGAUAUAUUUCCUUCACUCCCGUCAGUUAAGCCUGGUGAACAAUAACCGGUUGAUUCUUUUUAUUUUUUUUCUUAACCAAAACGGCCUCCAAAUCACCUCCCAAAAAUCAUGAAACUUUAGUUAGUCUGCUUGAUGCCACUAGCUCUCAAGCGUGAUCAGAGAAUGGAGUACAUUUAGCAGCCAUGGGCCAGGCUGCCUUGCCGUCAUACUCCCAACCAUGCUAGUUUUCUAUCUGAAUCGAGCAUUUAAAUGUGUACAUAUAUAUAUAUCAACUCGUAUGUAGUAGGAUAUGGACAUAUAGGACAGAGGUGACAUGGUCGCACAUGAAACCUUGUUUCGAAAUCUGAAACAAACAGGAGAACCAGCAUCUCUUAGCAAAUCGCAAACCAAUGUGUGUGUGUUGUGUGUGUAUGGUACCAGUACCAGCGAGGGAGGUAUCAGGUAUGGCCCCUCGUAAUGGGAAAAAUAUAAUGAGCCAUACUGCAUGGCACAGCAGAAGCUCCCAUAGCCACCUAACAUAGUAAACAUGCCAAGGAAUUGCAUGUGCAUUGGUUACCAACAGUAGAUCUGCUAGCCUCCUCCCUGGCCUCCUACUUAACUGAACUGACCGACAGGCAACUUCCAUCUCCAUGCAUCCACGGCUCCACCCAUCUUCCCAGCUCCUCUCAUGUGACAACACCACUGCUGCAGUCCACGAAUGUACGUGCUCCGGUUACUGUUAGUCUGAACAAAUAGCGAGCAAUUUGAGAAUGGACGGCAUCGGGACAAAUUCUAAGACGUGCGACCAAAGUAAGCGGUUACAUAUGUGAUUGAGUGAGCAUUGUUAAAACUUUGUUAACUUCUGCAUGAAGCAGACAUCUAAGCCAGCUUGUUCCAGGGAGGUUUGAUCUUGGAAAGCAGGAUGCUUUGAAUGUCCAAUACCCACGAGCAUGACGGUAGCAGCUAGGCAGGUGGCCGGCGUGCAGGCUCGUAGAUGUCAUGGUGACCCUACUGGAACCCGCAUGCGCCGGCGGCCACCAUCUACUUCCGGCACCGUCGAGACGGCGCCACGGCGAGCAGCACCGACAUGGGGACCACCGGUCGACACCGCGGGCGCCCGCCGGGUCAAGGAGCUGCACCGCGUUCGCGACGCCGCGCUUGUCCCUCCGGAUCAGCUUCUGGCACGCGCCCGACGAUGCCAGGAGCGCGGCGUCGCGCUCGGCCACGGGCUUGGCCUCCAACAUCCACAUAGCCGCGGCACGACGGCCUCCAGCUCGUGCGUCGUCUUGCCGCCGCAGGCAUUGCCGGAGAGCUCGGCAAGCGCCAGCGCGGCCUCGGUGCGGGUACCUCGCCCCUGGCUGGCCUACUACGCGCCGGCGCCCCUGGCCGGGGCGUCCCCGCGCGCUGGCGGCUGGCUCUGGCUGGGUCGCGCUCCCAUGCCGCUGGCUGGCCGGUACCCGACCCCCUUCCCAGGAGCCGCCGCCGUCCUGGAACCGCCGCCGCCGCUCGCAGUAUCGGGGAGAGAGAGGGUCAGGAGAGGGGUCUGGAGGGGGAAAACGGGACUGGGGGUAUGGGUGUGAAUGGACGAUGGGUACUGUUGUCUUUUCGCACUAUUUUGACUUUUUUUAAUUCUUUUAUUUCAGAUCCUCCCAACAGAGUCAAAAGAUGCGGCAAACAGACCCUCCCUUUUCAAAAAAUAUAGGUAAAAUCACAAAGUUACUGAAAGUGAGGGUAAAAUUACAAUUAGCAUUUAAAGUUAGGGUAAGAACACCAAUUUUCUUUGAUACGUCACCGAAAGCUAGCUGCAAAUUGGGAUUUACGGCAGUGGCAGCCCCUACCUUGGAAACAUGGAGAUAUACCACUGCAACUACUCUAGUUUAACUCACCUCGCCAUGCUCUUGUACAUAUAUUACUUCCUGCACUGUCGGCCUAGCGACUACAUAUAUUGCGACUGUUUCUGAAUGUAGAUGUUGAGUGUUACCAAAAUAGAGGGAAGAUGAUGAGUUGCAAGAAUACAGGCCAUGACAUGCUGACAGCAUAAGAUAUGCUCUUUUCUUUUCGACUGUACUGAAGAUUUAGGCUAUGUAGUGUAGAAAGUUUUUCGACAGCACGCACUGCACGUUUCAUGAAGAGAAUAUAGUUAAAAGAGAAGAGUAACAAAGUGAUCUGAGAAUGGAGGGCAUCAGGGCAAACUUUGAGAUCAGCAGGCAAAGUAAGUACUAGUUACAAAAGCAUUCUUUGAGAAUGAUCUUUAACUUAGGCAAAUUGGGUCUAUGUCUUACCUAUCAUUUAUAUAUGUUUUUGCAGUUGUAGCUGCUUGCAUUACGACAUUUGGAGGAGAUAAUGUGGGGUGAUGGGGCUUUUCUUGUCCCAUACAUAGGCAGCGACGACUUACAGCGCAAUGAACUAGCAUUUUCAUGGGAACCUUUACACACUAGCAACGGUGAUGAUGACCGGUUGGGGGCAAUGGGGUGGAGUUCGCCGCCCUUCACGUACACGUUUGACGGCGGCUUCGACAAUGGAGCAAGAUAGAGGAAGAUAGGUUGAGACAGCACCACAAGCCUACAAGUUUCGGGAGCCUCCAUUCAAGCAAAUCACUGGUCCUCCUACACUAGAAUAAUAGUUUGCUAGUUUCAAGUGAUAAGGAGAUCGGGCUGAUGUGAAGAAUGGUAGUCCAGCAGGAUCAUGUUCAAUCAGCAUAUCACGAUCACACCAUGGACUUUUCCUCGUAAAAGAAAAGGAAAAAAAUAAAUCAAGAACUCAAACACUGCAUGCAAGGGGUCGCACUAGUUCAGAAGACCAGUGCGUGUGUGUAGUACCAGUACGGCAGUACCACAAAGAAUCCAGUAGCCACCUUCACCUAACACAGUACACAUUCAUUGGAAAUGCGUACAUUGGUCAGAAACUAGGGAUGCGUGUAGUCCUUGUAAAGAAAUAAAAUAUGUUCGUUCAGAAAACGAAUUAGAUCUUGUUUAGAUGCACUCAAAAUUUCAAAUUUUUACACUCUCUCUCCAUCACAUCAAUUUUGGGACAUAUGCAUGGAGCAGUAAAUGUAUGUAAAAAAAUAACUAAUUGCACAGUUUAAUUGUACAUCACGAAAUGAAUCUUUUAAGCCUAGUUAGUACAUGAUUAGAUAAAAUUUGUCAAAUACAAACGAAAGCGCUACGGUACGAAAUGUUAUAAAAUUUUGCAAUCUAAACGGGACCUUACUACAUAUGCAUUGGUCACCAUCAGCUGCCACUGCCAACCUCUCACCUCCUACUUUAACUCACCUGAUCGAGCAUGCUCGUCUACAUAUACUGCUACUUCGCUCCGCUCAUCGUCCCAGCUCCUCUUGUGUGUGACCAUCCAACUGCUAUCUGAAGGCCACGUAUUUCCAGUCAGUGCUAUUAGUCUGAAUAUACAGUGAGGCGUUUUGAGAAUGGAUCGGAGGGCACCGGGAAAAAUCCCAAGACGUGCAACCAAAGUAAUUGAGCGGUUAUGAUCUAUGAUCGAGCGAGCAUCGUGUCGAAUUUUGUUAACUUGCUUCUGGACAAGAUAUCCAAGUCCUAUGCACUUGUCAUUUCGGCUGUGGCAGGGGAUGUUUCAUCUUACGAAGCUGGACGCUCGGCGCCUGCGGAAUCCACAAGCAUGACCGCAGCGGCCAGGAAGGCGGCCGGCGAGAAGGCUCGUAUAUCCGCGAGCAGGGGAAACAAUCGGAGCUACGUGACGACGGUGGUCUCCUCUCUGUUCAGGUACAGUAAACUCUCUGAACACAUGAGAGACUCCUGAUUCCGGCGGUAUGUACCAGACAGAGCUCGAGUUUGAGCCUGGCCGAGAACAAACGCAGAAAAGAAACAAUUAACGACAAUACAUACAGGAUACCACGGCGAAGUAAUACAUACAGGAUGCUGCGAAGUAAUGAUCGAGUUGAAACGAAAAUUGAGCGUGCCAACUGGUUUUAUGUACAUUAUUAAUACGAAUAUGGAAUUGGACGGUCAUCAUUUCAUCUGGAUAUCUAUCUAUCAUACAGCUAACAUAACAUAACAUAACAUAACAUAACAAAUAAGCUAAUCCUUGUGGAUCUGACAUUUUAACCCGUCGCUUAGUCUCUCGUCGGCUGAUCUGCUCAGCGCACAAAGCGUGAAUGAGGAAUUAGUCAUAUGAUCUUUAUAUUACCCGGGCGCAUUUGCAAGCAUACAGUGUUUGUGCUAUGUAGUUAUACUAAUACAAAUGGACUGCUUGCACAGUUGCAUAUGCAAAAAGCUAGGCAGCAGUUAGGUUGCACAUGUACUAUCAUUGACGACGACGACGACAGCAGCAGCAGCAGUUGUAUCUAUUCUAUUUUUUUCUAAAAAGUUACCCACCUUAUCAUUAUGGAAAUAGUCUAAAUUAAACCACUAUUUAUAUCUAAAUUACCCACCUCUAUGUUUAUGAAAAAUGAUCUACAGUAGCUCAUAAUCUUCUUGUAAAUUAUUACCCACCUCUACCAGUAUGGAAGAUAAUACAAAGUAGACCCUAAAUUUGUAUCUAAAUUACAUACCCCUAAAUUUAUGUAUAAAUUUCCCACCUCUAUGACAAUUAAUUACAAUAAUCAUAAACUAAUAAAUGGCACCUAAAUUUACAACUGCGCAGAGGUUUUCUUAAAAAAGUUCAGGAAUGUUAUAGUAUAUGGACAAAGCGAUUAGUAGAAAAUAUAAGUGGGGUACUGACAUGGCAUGUAACCUAAGAACAAACUAGGGGCAAGAAACUAGAUCGGUUAGUUCCUUGCUUCUAGAAUGUGUAUAAUUGCUCUCUUCGUUUUCCACAUUGUUGCAAUAAUAUGAUCACCCAGAGGUAUCUACUUUCAGCCGGUACCAUGUGGACUUUACAAAUUCGAAUUCAUGGCACUGGCAGCCCCUGACAUGGGGGUUUCGGACCAACUGCUCUAGUGGUCUCCUGAACAUAGUACAUCACUACAUCAUCCUCGAGUCAUUUGUUACUAACAACUACCGGCCUCUUCCCUCCCUCUAUUUAACUGACCUGACCAUGCUCGUGUACAUAUACUACUUCCUCCACUGCUCGGCUUAGUGACUGCAGUAUCGUUACUGUUUCUGAAUGUAGAGGUUGGGUAUUACCAAAAUAGAGGGAAGAUGAUGAGUUACAAAAAUAGGCCAUGACAUGUUGACAGAUGAAGACAUGCAUGCUCGAUCUUUUCAUUUUAACUGUAGUGAACAUAGACUCGUAUAUGGUUAAGAAAGUACAAGGCGAUUGGAGAAUGGAGGGCAUCGGGACAAAAUCUGAGACGAGCGGCCAAAGUAAGUACUAGUUACAAGAGCAUUCGGUCUGUAUAUGUGAAUCAUACACUCACACUUGACGUUCCUAUUUGUUACAGGCGAGUUUUGGUGUUCCCUUGCGAAACCCUCCUGAAGGUUGAGGUGAGGAAGGGCAGCGAAACUGCAGGUGGUUGGCGUCCACUUGCUGGAGAUCGUUGGUGGCGAUUCGAAGAGUUAAAGAGGUAGGUAUUGCGACGCGUGGUCUCCUGUUCUUUUCCUUUUGCUACUAGAUGAUAGGCAAUUCUAUAAAAAAAUGGACAGAUUAAUUUCAGUAGGUGGCUGCCACCUAUCCUGUUUGAUAAUUGGUUAGAAUUGGUGAACAAGGUAUUCUCUUUCCAGUUUGUAAAUUGCCAAGACAAAAUAAAGUGGAAAUGGACCGGGAAUGGAAAAUUUUCCACCAAAUCAGUCUAUGAACACAUAUCUAGUUCCGGAUCUAGUGGGGGCUUUAAACACAUUUGGAAAGCCAAGUUGGCCUACAAGAUUAACAUCUUUACAUGGCUCCUAGAAAACAAGGUCGUCUUAAUAAAAGACAACAUGGUGAGGGAAAAAAUGGCCCGGGGUUCUAAGUUGUUCCUUCUGUUCUCAAAUUGAAACAGUGCUUGUUCUUUCAAUGCCCGGUGGCCAGAGUUACUUGGGGGAUUGUGGCGCUCUGUCUGGGGGCUUCUGAUAUACUCCCUCAAGACACUUCGUAAUACAGGGUGUGGGUGAAAAAAUGGCUGCCUGGUGGGAAACAGUCUAUCAUCUUGGCUCUGCCGCUAUAUGCUGAGCGAUCUGGAAGUGCCGAAACAAAGCAUGCUUUGAUAAGAAACUGAUCAAACAUCCGACUGACAUAAUGUUCCAUGCGUGUUCCUUCAUGAUUUAUUGGGCAGGUCUGUAUAACUCCGAGCUACGAGGGAAGCUGAUGGACGACGUCAAGACGUGCUGGCGUGUGCUCACCGGGUACUGGCGCAACAAGCUGAGAACUAUCAAGUCGGAGAAAACUGUUGCUAGUUGUAGUGUAACAGAUCUCUUGACCUGAAUCAGGUUGGGAGCAUCUUCCCUUUCUUUUCUGUUCCCCUCUUGUUCUUUGGUACUGAACAUCUGUAUUUCUGUUUUCUCGUGAAAUGGAAAUGGGGUAGAGCCUCGUCUAAAAAAAACUAGAUGGUAGGCAAAUUGCUCGGCUUUCUUCAAGUUUGGUAACCUGUCUUCACAGGGGUCGGGAGCACCUCGAUCGCUGAAGGAGACAAUGCGGCUCGCUGAUGGCUGGAGAAGUACAGAACAUAAAGCUACAAUGCGGUGAGCAUUCACGCGGCAACCUUUACACACGCGGUGGUGAGUGGUGACGACCGGUGGUGACUGCGGGACGGGAGGACUUCACCGCGCUUCAGAAGAUCUUAGUUGACAGAAACUCCAUCGACAAUGGUGCAAGUUGAGAGGAAGCUAGCUAGAUUGAGACAGACAACAACACAAGCCUGAUGAACCUGCAAGUUUAGGAAGCCACCACCGCGCGCUGAAUGUACUCAAAACACUAAAACUUGCUAGGUUCAAGUGAUAAGGUGAGAUGAUGACAUGAAGAUUGGUAGUCCAGCUCCCGCAGGAACAUGCUUAAUCGCACAUCACCAUCAAAGCAUUCAAGCCAUGGACUUUUCCUCGUGAAGAAAAGGAGAGAGAGAGGGAGAGAGAGAGGGGGGGGGGGAGAGAACGAGAAUUCAAACAUGCAUGGUAAGGGAGAACACAUACAAUCAUACAUACAUUUUCUCUCUUUUUUUGAGUGGAAAUCAUACAUACAUUUUCAGCCACAAGUAAAAACAAAAUAAACGGGUCAGGAUCGAUCAAGCGUGCAAUGAUCAACAGGCCAUCAUAUUUAAAGCUCAUUUCAAUCGGUUAGUGUUACUGAAAACAAAAUUGAAAAUCCAGUCCGGCCCAACUGCCGCACCGCACCAAGCCCAACACGGCCCACCUUCCUCUCUCUCCCGGUCUCCCCCUCGGUUUCUUCUUUCUUGCGAGAGAGGCCAGAGCCGAGCAAGAGCAACCAAACCCAACUCCAAACAACUGAAUCGAACCAGAGUUCCAGACCAGGGGAGACCACCACCGGUCCACCGCUCCCAACUCGCCGGAUAGGGCUUUUGCCGCGGCUCAUCUCGCCCGCUCCGCAAUGGCCGCCGCUCACGCGGGCUCCUCUGCCGCCGCCGGCGAGGCCCCGACCACCGGGGAGCACCGGAUUGGGACCACCAUCGUCGGGGUCUGCUACGACGGCGGCGUCAUCCUCGGCGCCGACUCCAGGACCAGCACCGGUAUGGCCUUCGAUCCCCUCUCGAUCUGUCUGCGCCGCGGGAGAUCCUGCCGCCUCUGCGGGUGGAUUUGGCGUGGGGAUGGCGUCGCGGGUCUAGGUUUUCGCUGGAUCGUCGGGAAUUGACGGAUGAAUUGCCGGCUGUGAUACGUGCUGCCUUUCUACUUUCGCUGCUAGGUUCAUUGCUAGUUUCCUUUUGCGAUAUUAGGGGAUGGUCUCUACUUUUAUGUUAGACACACAGCUGCAACUUGCGAGAUGAGUAAUGUGGGUACUAGCAGUAGGAUAGAGUGAUGUUGAGGGAUGUUGUCCUUUCUUUGCAUCCUGUUUAAACCUUUGAGAUCAUUUUCCCUGUGUUUCUGAGUACAAUUAUAGAUUGUCCAACACUCCAACUCUGUUCCCAUUAACUGUUAGUAUUUGCCAUGGUAUAGUUGUGGUGACUGGUUACAAUGAAUGAUAGUGUUUUUUUGUCAAGUCAGACACCCAUGAACCAGUGCUGAAUUCCGAGUGGUAUUUAGCAUGCCCGAAAAAAUCUGCCUAUUUCAGACGCCUGAGCCUGCAUCCAUGUCCAUUUAACACUGAUGAAUGAUAAGGUUAUGUGUCAUGGAUGCAUAAUUGAACUCUUUAUCCUUGUGAUUGAUCUGUAUCGUGCUUAUUGGACAACAUGCCUCCUUAAGUUCACGUGGUGGCUAAGUAGUUCAGAAAUAUGCUUUGCACCUGUUUCUACCGAUUAAAUUCAGUAUUAAGCUGUUGUGUUACUAUUUUUUGGCGUCAUGUUAAUAUUUUUUGUUGCCUGAAUUCAUAGGAAUGUAUGUGGCAAACCGUGCUUCAGACAAGAUUACUCAACUGACGGACAAUGUGUAUGUCUGCCGCUCUGGAUCUGUAAGUGUCCAUGCUAUUUUGAAGAUUGAAGCAAAAAUUUUGUUUUCUCAUGAUUUUUUCAUGUUAAGAUGCUUGAGUAGAAACUUUUAUUUUUCACAUUAAGAUAGAAUGGAAACUUUCUGCUCAAUUUGUCCCUUUGACAAGUUGGUGCACUUUCUUCAAGAUGACACUUAAUUCAGACAAUGGCUUAAACAUGAUUUUGGUCUGAACUAGUCAAUAAACAUGUAACCCAGCAGUUAUUCAUAAUGCUGUUUUUAUGCUGCCUUAUCUUUUAUUAUCUUUGUAGAAAAGAAUUUCUCCUUUGCAGUCCGCAGUAUCGUGCCAGAUUCCUGUUCGCAAGUUCAUCAUCUCAUAUGAAAAAUCUUGCUUUUUUUUGCAGGCUGCUGAUACACAAGUCAUUUCAGACUAUGUACGUUAUUUCCUUCACCAACACACGUAAGUUUGUUCUCAUACACAACCUAAUAAUGUUUAAUCUUCUCAUUGAAUGAAACAACAAACUAGAUGAGAUUUGAGAUCUCUUUUAUAAAAAGGGAGGUAUACGGUCACAUUAAAUAUUUGGCAUGCAAGGUAGCUGAUGCUAAAAUUACCCUCCUGUGCAGAAUCCAGCUUGGGCAACCCGCUACUGUCAAAGUUGCAGCAAACUUGAUUAGGUUGCUAGCCUAUCAGAACAAGGUAUUCUAGCACAGAGACUGUUAAAAUGUUCUUUACUGAUCUCAUUCGUGAACACAUGACAUCUUGCAUUAUUUGUCACAUUUGAUGCUGAAUUCAUCUCUAGUUUCCACAAUGAAUAUUUGUUAUCGAUGUCCAGAACAUGUUGCAAGCUGGCAUGAUAAUUGGAGGAUGGGACAAGUAUGAAGGAGGCCAAAUUUUCUCCGUUCCCCUUGGUGGAACGAUUCUGAGACAGCCAUUUGCAAUUGGAGGUAUUCUCCCAUAGAGUUACAUGGCUCAUGUUUUCUCAAGUCAUCGUCCUGGUUGCAACUUGCAAUGCUUUCCUGCAACAUACCUUAUGCGCUCUGCUAAUGAUCCAGUACUUAAAUCACAUACUUUUUGCAUUAUAUGAUAUUCGAAUGUUCGUACUCCAAAUCUGGUUAAGGAUGUAUUUGCUGAGAAAUAUGGAUCAUAUUAUUUUCCUAAUCCUCUCUUUCUUUAUGUUGCUGUUUCUGACACUUAUGGCAAUAUCUCUGUCUUCUUGCAGGUUCGGGUUCAAGUUACCUAUAUGCGCUGCUUGAUCAUGAAUGGAGAGAGGGAAUGAGCCAGGAGGAGGCAGAGGUACAUCUCUAGGUUCCCUCUUUAGUCUGGAUAUUAGGAUGUUUUCUCUCCUGGUAAUAGAACAUAGAUUAUUGACUGUGUAAAGCAGAAUACAGUACAAAACUAGUUUCAGUUUUCCUAACCUGGUUCCUUUACUUCAUAUUUACAGAAAUUUGUGGUGAAGGUAGUUUCCCUUGCCAUGGCCCGUGAUGGUGCUAGUGGAGGGGUUGUUCGUACAGUUACUGUAAGUUCUCUUGUCUGAUGCAAAUGCCAUGCUUCAUUUAUUUUGCUUGAGAAAUUUUGAAAUGUCAGAAAUACCAAAAACUAGGGGAUGUUUUGGAUUUUUUUUCUAUUAUGAUAUAACUUUCUACAAAUCUAGCAUACUGGGUCUUGUUAUUGCUUUCUCAAGUAAAAGGCAAGCAGUUGUAAUUGAAAACCAUAAAUAUUUACUCAAUUGAGUUUUCAUGUUCUUGAGCUUUUUCCCCUGUGGUAAACUAUGCUUGAUUUGUAAAUGACUUUGCAAAGUAUGUUUUAAUUGUAUGCCUGUAUUUUCCCUUCACCCUCAUUUUUUCCUUCAACUCUAUUUGCCAGUGUUCUUUGUCUGGUAGGUACUCAAUAGAUAAUUUUGACUGAUUUUUUUUCCCAAGUUGGAAACUAACUGAUGUGGUUGUGGUGCAGAUAAAUGCCGAUGGUGUGAAGAGGAACUUUUACCCUGGCGACAAGCUGCCACUAUGGCACGAAGAGAUGGAGCCCCACAACUCGUUGCUUGAUAUUCUCGCUGCUGGAAACCCUGAUCCGAUGGUGCAGUGAAUUUGCACACCAGCACUGCCCCUUUCUUUGUGAACUUUCCUACUGUAUCUGACUUCUAAAUUUCAACUGAAGAACUAUGCCACACCGAUGUAUUUACGUUUUCUUGUUAUCAUUGUUUCAGUUUAACAGAAUGGUUGACGUUUCGAGGCAAUGAUUUCAAAAGCAUGUCGUAUUGGUUUUAGAUAAUGGAUAGUGGUUACUGUGAUGAGUCUGCGGUCUUCCGAUUCACAAAUGAGAAUACGAAAAUACGAUCUUGUGAUCUACCAAGUCAUGUUAAGUUGAUGCAGAUGCAAGCAGCCAAUAGGUAUCAGUAUAUCGUGCAGCAGUUUGCGCUGGGCUACGGGCUACGUUUUCGCAGUUUUGUUUGCGAGACCUGAGUACCGUUUCGAUUUUCGAUGGAAAACGUGCUCGGUGAAACACUAGUCCAUUGACAACGAACAAGCAAAUUCACAGAGAAGCUCCAGCAAAAACACCCUGAAAACGAACAAGCAACUUUAGAGUAUAUGCUCAAGGCUGUGAGGGAUGACUACUGAUCUUGGCUGGUGAGUUGGUUCCGAGGUUCGUUUCUGGCUGGUAGCUAGUAUGAAUACGCAGAAACUAUCACCCUGUAGCUCUCAUUCUGAAGGACUCGCAUUCAUAAGUUAACUCUGAUCCGUUACAUUUCAGCUUAUCCAGGGGUAAUGUAUACUACAGGAAGUUAGUAAUGCUUUUGUACAGUUUAAAUUUCAUUGCCAAAUUAUUUCAAAUUCCAUAGCUCUAGUCAGUAUGCAGUUCUAUCAUUAGGCCUGGUGAAAAAGGUCGAAUAAACAUUUUCACCCGCCCUAUUUUUUUGUUUGUCAUGGGAUAUAAUACAUUGGGUUGGGGAGCUUGAAGGAGCGCGCACUCAUGGAAGAGCCUAGCAGAUCGCUCCACUGAUCCCCUGAAUUGCCCAGGAUCCUGUACCCUUCUGCUUCAAUUUCCUUCCUCUUCUCCGAUUUGUAGGUUGUCGCGGUUUUUUUGCGGUCAGCCGCUGUCCUGAACAUUGGGAAAGACAAUCUCAGAAUUCCAGUACAAACAAUAGACGCUGAAGAAGAGGUGGUCAGAUUCAGCAUAACAGCAUUGAACAAAAUGAUUAUGACCCUUAACCAGCACCAGAUGCUUUUCAUGGUAGUAGUAAUGUCAGAUAGAAUUUUGGACAAGGACAGCACAGCAUAGUCGUAUAUAGGAGAUGAAGCACCAAAUUCAGUGCUUCAUGACAAGAAGAUAACAAAGCGCUUGGCUGCCAAUAUUGGUAAUGCUACUUCAUUGCUUCCGGCUGUGGUGCCGGCUGUGACACUACAAUGUUAUAUUUAGGAGUUCAAAUUCUUCACAGCAGCCUAGAUCGAACCAUUGUAGUCAUGAUAGGUGAUAUUACUGUAGGCUUAUUGCACAGAAGAAGAUUGGUGUGAAUCGUAGCAAAUGGCUUGAAACUAAUGUGCCAGGUAUACCUGAGGAUGAGCUUAUCCCAGUCGUGGAACCCCUGUUUGUUGAGGUUGUCCACCGUGACGCCCCGGUGCCCCUCGCUUCUGCCCGUGAGCAAGAUGGCCUUGAAUCCGAGCUCGAGAACCUCUUUGUACAGCUUCAAGCUGGAGGGAAUCCCCGGCGCCUCCCCCCUCUCCACCCACUUGUCAAACUCGAGGUGGUCGAACAAUUCAAGCCUGCGGAUUGAAAUCAAGUAAACCAUGUGAAACAAUUUUCAAUGGAGCAAUUCAUGCCUAAUUCGUUGUCAUUUGUCUGGUGUCCAAAGUUUUGCCAUUUUGGGUGGCAGCUACCAAACGGGGAUUGGUUGCUCGAUCGGAACGAUGCUCGGAAUUUUGUGUGGCUAAAUCUCUGCCAUUUUUUCUGCCAUUCGAUGGGAUGGGAGAGGAAGGAAAACUCACCCGUAUCCGUGGUCGGCGUAGUAGGGGAGGUUCGACAGCAGCGUCUCGUCGACGUCGAAGAUCCAGGCGUCGCGGCCGUCGCCCCCGAGCGGCGCGGCGCGCGCGUAGGCGGCGGACUCCCGCGCCACGAGCUCGAGGUCGGAGCGGUAGGCGGCGCCCGUGAGGUAGGCCCGCACGUGCGCCGCGCACUCCGCCGGCACGGCCUCCCACGGCGCCAGGUUGUUGGCCUCCGCCGCGAGCCGCCAGCUCGCGCAGCGCACGUCCGCCGGCACGUCGUCCGGGCCCUCAUCCGCGCCCCGCGCCAGCGAUGACGAGGACGACGGGAGCUCGAUGACGAGCGGGCGUGGCAGGAGGUGCUGCUGCGCCGCCGCCGCCACCGCGUCCGCGGCCUCCUCGGACGCGACCUGCGACGGGGCGGUCGCGGCCACCUCCGCCUCCGGCUCUGCGGCGAUGGGGGCGAGGAGCGGCGUCGCAGCCAGGAGGAGCGUCACGAGAAGGCGGACGAGAUCGCCACCGCCGCGGUGGGGCGCCAUGGCGUGCUUACUGUUGUUGAUCGACCGCCCGCGCGGGGCCGGUCGUCGAUGCGCUCCGGCGGGGGUCCCAGGGCGGGCGCGGUGGCAAGGCGAGGCGGUGGUGGCGCGGGGCCCGGCUGGCAGCGGGAAUGCGUGGCUCCGGCGAGCUGGGCGCGUGGAGAGGAGCGGAGGACGGCCGGUGGAGGCGGGUUAAAUCGGGAGGAAGGAGACGGGGUGGGAGGCGUUUCGUUUCGUGUUGGUGGGGAAAGGAAAGGAAUUGGCGGAGGGGAAGAAGGGAGGCGGCGAGUUGGGGGAGUUGGAUUCGAAUCCGAGGGAGGAGGAUUCUUCGGUGGCCGGCGGGGGCGACGAGCGUGGCCGUGGGGUGGGGCCGGUGGUGACGUGUCGGUCUCGGGUUGGUUGUGUGCGCUGGUCGGGCGCGGCAAGGUCUCCCGCCGCGAGGCGCCGACGCGGUGCACCAAACCAACCAAGACGCUGACGUCUCUGUCUCGCGAUUGCUGUUCACUGGAGGUCAAAGCUUUUCUUCGAUGGCCCACACCAGCAGCCAAGGCAAGACUGGGUGCUGCACGCCAAAUUCAACGGGCCGUUACUGGGUGAUGCUCGCCAUCCUGCUUGGGCCGCAACGCGGAGGAUUAUUUGUUAAAAAAGAGAAACACGGAGGAUUUGAGGCCCAGUUGAGCGUGCAAACACAUAGCCCAUCUGCAAGCCUCGGCCCACUUUACCAACCGUUGCAAACUCUUGCGCCUAUAUAUAUACACCCAAGUGAUCUCAUCUUCCACGUUUCUCUCCACUCAAUGGAUAGUGAAAAGAAAAAAGAAAAAAAAACUGCGAACGGGAGGCACAGGAGAACUUGCACGGGAAAAGUAAGACAAUUUGGCAUGAUUUCUUCUCUCUUGUUCUCUUGCAAUACAGCCGUAAACUACUCGAGUGGAGGGCCUAACGCUAUCCCCUUUUCUCGAGAACAAAUGCAUGCUUGCACAUCUCAGCGCCAUCAUGUAGCAUAAUAUUACUUACUCUCUCUGUCUCAAAAAAAUGAAACUUAAGUCGAAUAGUUUUAAGUUUAAUCAAAUUUAUAAAAAAUUACUAAUAUUUAUGUCUCCAAAUAGAUUUAAUAUAAAAAUAUAUUAUAUGGUUGAUCUAAUAAUAUUUAUUUUGUAACAUAAAUGUUAAUAUUAUUUUGUAUAAAUUUGGUCAAAGUUAAAAUUAUUUGACCCCUCAGAAAUUGAGGGUUGCAUUCUUUUGGAAAAAGAGGCGUAGGCAACUUCGUAUUCUCCGUGGAGAGGAAGGAAUACUGCUAUUUGGAUGCAUCAGACGAAGUUGCACACUUGCACUAUAUGGUGGUAGAAGCAUACUUGUGGUGCCAUCUUACCAUCCAGACAUACAAUGGGAUGUCUGAUUUGUGUAUUGACGGUGCCAUUUUUCUAUUCAUGCGCAUCGUUUCAAAAUAAAGCUGCUUUCUUGUUGCAUCUCUAUUCUGAUGUACAUUACAAGUAUGAUUCCGUAGAAUAGACAGCAUACAUAUCAAUAUUUGAAUGCUACAACUAGCUGGAUGAUUUCACAUCUAAUGUGCUGAUGACCAUGAAACCAUAUUUGAAAAUUUGAAAGAAAAGGGGCCUGAAGAAUGAAGUAGCAAUCACCAUACCCAUUGCUUCUAGAAUAGUGUGGGUAUAAUUACACCACCCAAGUGGAUUUUUUCAAUCCCCCCUCCUUUUUUUAGUGCAACUAUAACAUUAUUAUUCACGGAGACCUACUUCCACAGUAUGUGGUGUGGGUUUUACACGUCAUAGUUAAUCCGUCCCUGCUCUGAAAAGUAAAAACAUGGGGGGCAUUGAGUAUACUACUUCAUUUUUUCAACUCCUCCUCUACUCUUGCAUGCAUAAUAACAUGUAACCACCUACCACAUAGUAAUUCUGAUACCACCAACUCUGCUUCACUGCUCCUACGUAACUCAGUUCACUGUGCUCGCGUACACAUAUAUUCUACCUCCUCACUUUACUGCUCGGCACCUCUUAAUAUUCGACUCCAUUCAGUGUGUUAGACUGAAACCCAUGAGUAUAUGAGUUGAUCAGUACCCAAUCAAACAGAGGGCCUCUGGUGAUGAGCUACAAGAACAAGUUGUGCACAUGCAUGUUUUUGACCGGUGAAGCUAGGCUCAUCAUAGCUGAGGAAGCAACAAAUAAAGCGAUCUCAGAAUGGAAGGCAUCAGGAUAAAUCCUGAGAUGUGCGACCAAAGUAAGCGAUAAUGACCCACAACAUUAUGAAAUUUUGAAUAAUAGUCUCCAAAUCUUAUGCACUUAUCACCUCUAUCGUUGCAGGGGGUUUGUGAUCUUCCCUUGCAAAACCCUCGAGAACUUUGCAAAUGGCAAGAACAUGCUACAAGAAUUGAGCGGGGGGUUGCUGGUGCAUAGGCUCGCGGCUCAAAGGGGACAAGAGGUGUGUGAUGGUGAUCGAUCUCCUUAUCUCCUCCGUUUCAAAAAAAAUUCUCCUCCUUUUCACGAUAGGAAUUGCAUUUGCGUACCCUUGAGAGCUUCAGUAAAGGCUGUUAAACUGUCUUAACAGAAUUUCCCUCAAAAAAACUGUCUUAACAGAAGAUGAUACUAGCGGACAGGAAGCUCAGGCUUGAAGAACAAGCGGCAGCUCUCGUUUUGCGCAGCAGUGUUAGAGCUGGUCCUGCUGAGGAUGGGGAGGCAAUUAGAGGUGACGGUGUUCUUUCCCUAUCGUGUAGGCGCUGCUUGCAUAAGAUGCGACUCUUGACUCCUACACUGCUGAUCGAGUGUUCAGCGAUGUUUCGACAACGGGAGAACGGCAGAAACAAAGAACGUAAAGCCGUUUUGUUUGUGGUAACAACAUGAUGAUGUUUUUGACAAAAUUGUCACCGUAUGUAUGUUUUUUUUAUUUUUUUCCAUCCCACCUAUAUUUACCCUGGAAUUAAUGAGCUGUCACACACUGCAAGGGUAGUGGCUAUGAAGCGGGAUUUGAAUAACACCCUCAGCAGUUAGCAGCAUCAACAAUACCACAACCACAAGUUUAAAGACGCGAGAGAAGGUGGCCCCCAAAUUCUAGACAGGUACAGUUCCAUUCACUGCCUGCAGUUAAUCUCAAUUGUUAAGAUUAGGUCAUCUUCAACAAACUCGGGUCGCCAAUAGAUAAAUGCACCACACGGCCCAUCCUCAAGACCUGACCCACUUCACCAACCUUUGCAACUCUUCCCUACCACUCCACAGUCCACACCCAGCCUCCUCUGUAUAAACACAUGAGUGGUCUCAUCUCCUGCACUUUCAUUUUCGUGGUUGUACCACCCACCGUGCAUCUGUGCAGUCAAUGGAUAGCUAGGGAAAUGAUGAGAAACAAAAUUAAGAACAGAAGGCACCAGGAGAACCUGCAUGCUAACAGUAAUAUGCUUGUCCUGAAUUUUCAUUAAAGCCAUAAACGACUUCUGUAAACGAGGGCCUAACAAUGUCACGUUUUUCAUGAACAAGCGCAUAUUUCCACACGCUUCUCCUCCCGUGUAGCAUGAUUGUGUGAAGAUCAACUUCAUUUUCUCCAUGGAGCGAGAGAAGGGAGUACUGCUACUCUGUCAUACGCUUUCAGGUUGCAUCGGGCGAAGGAAGAGGGAAUGCUGCUAUCCGGGAGCAGGAGAAUACCAGUGACUAGUGAAGUGGCGGUGACAAAUUUUGGGAUGGGGUUAAAAAAAUUCCCCUCGUCUGUUCCACAUGAAAGCACAGGUCUAAGAUACGGUCCAGGUCACUAGUCGUCUCACACGGGCUACAGUGCUGCUGUCUAAAGGAGGGGUAGGGGUGGGCUACGGUGCCGCUCUCUGAAGGAGGGGUAGGGGUUCGGAGGUUUUCUUGAUCUGCGUGAGAAAGUUUUCUUCUUAGCAAAAUAUCCGAGUGCUGUCUUACCUCUGCAGGGCGAGUUUUUCUUCCCAUCCAUGCAAUAUCUCAUUUUGUUAAUCUUCAAACGUUUCUAUACUCUAUUCAUAGUUUCUAUACUCUAUUCAUACGUAUAUAUUGGUUCAAAUCAAAGCUAUUUUUCAUGCCCCUUUGUAAUUAAGGGCCGGCAUUUUAGCAAAGCAAAUCCUACCAUAGCAUAAAACGUCAAGAAUAGCCACCUUAAAAGAAGGAAUUAGGGGCAACUAACCCAUUAAUGAGUUGCUAAUGAUGUAUAAUUUGUACUAUUUGCUUCUAGAAUGUGGAUAAUUACAUAUCACCAAAGUGCCUUUGUUUCUCUUUUUUUUAAUCAUUACCACGUACGACAUUAUUAUCACGUAGACAUACUCUCAUAAAAUAUCUUGUGGGUUUUAUAGGUGCCCCUGGCAAUCCCUUCUUCGGAAACAUGGGUGUAUUGAGAAUGCUGCUUCAAUGUUUAACCAUCUCGUACGCAUGAUAACAUCUAGCCAUCUAGUACCACGUAGUAAUAACUUACCAACAACUCUACCUCUCUACCCCUAUUUAACUCCGUCGACUCUACUCAGCUUGUGUACACAUUAUUCUCCUUCUUCAGCACCUCUUGUUACGGUACAAACUACAGUAUUCUGUUCUAGUCAGAGUGUUAGCUUUGAAUAUAUAAGUUGAAUGAGACUAAAAGAGAGGGGCAAUGGCGAUGAGCUAGCUACAAGCUUAAGACGGGUUGUAUGCAGAUGCAUGUUCUUAUGGCGGGUGAAGCUAGUCUCAUCAGAAUAUCAGAUCUGAUCGAGGAAGCAACACGUACAAUGGUUUGAGAAUGGGGGCAUCAGGACAAAUUCUGGGAUUUGGGAUGAAAGUUAGUGAUUACAAUCCAGAAUUAGAAAAUUUAUAACUAAAAAAAAGAUAUGCAAAAGGGUCACCGGCCAGGUAUUAUACACCAACCUGUCAUCUCUUUUGUUGCCGCAGGGGUGUUCUAGCCUUCCCUUGCAAAACCCUCAAGUAGUUUGGGAGUCGCAAGCAGUACAAAGACUCAAGCAGGGCGGUUGACUGGCUUGUAGUCUCGCUCGCUGGGCUGACACCGCAGCUCGCGGCUCAAAGACAACAGGAGGUGUGUGACGGCGAUCGCCUCCUCCUCCUCCUCCUCUUCUUUCACGAUAGGAAUUACCCUUGCUUUUAUUGAAGGCUAGCAAACUGUCUUAACAGUGGAGACCAGGAUCGCCUGUAGAGGGAGAAGUCAAGCUUGAAGAAUGAGAGGAAAUCCUGGUUGCUCAGCCAAGGGGGAGCUGAAGCUUUUGUUGACUGAGAGGCGACGAGAUGUGGCGGGGCUGUUUCCAAAUCGGUAGGCAAGCACAGCAGAACGUUGCUUUCUGCCUUGUGACUUGUGAGCUCUUCAAAGAUGUACGGCCUUCCAUGGAUUUGUUUGGAGAGAACGGGCCGCGAGCGCCAGAAGCAUAACAUCAGUUGGCCUAGCUAGCUAGCGCGUCGCGAGGCCAUGCCUGUGCAGGUGGAAUGGAGCCCGAAUGCCCUGCCGGCCGGCUGCCGGCAUGGGCCGCAUGUGGCCGAGCCAAGGUGGAGGUGGGUAUCCUCGGCCCGCCCCACGGCCGCCGCGGGACACGAUCAAAAUAUGUAGGCCGGCCUGCAGGGCGGGUGAUCCGCCAGGGAGGCAUUGCGCACUAGUCGCCACCUCACACACUGGUUGUCGCAGUCGGGAAGGAGAUCGGACAGGAUCCCAAGAGAUGGCUACCCGUUCAGAUCUUCUGUUGUGUGCCUGCUUGCUAGGAUUCUAGGAACAAGCACAUGCAGACUUUUUUUUUGAAGGAGAAAAACUCGGCUUUAUUUGAAAGCUCAAAGGUUCAGUACACGAGAGUUACUGGGGCUGCCAGUUUUACAUAAAGGUUCCAAAACAAGCAAAACAAAAGGAUGAGGCUACAGCUCCUCAACAUCGGAAAUGCGAGCUCCUCUGAUGUCUGGACGGCGAGUCCAAGCCUUCAACUUCUCCACGAUCUCCGUCAUGUCGUCUUGGUCAGCUGGUUUCAGCAGCGACGGCCAUUUCUGCAAAAAGGAGAUGCUGGAGUAUAAGAUCUGUAAAGGAUCCUUAGGGAAGGAUCUUUCGAUGGCCAUUUUGUUCCUGUUAAUCCAAAGCGCCCAUGCAACCCCUGCAAACAGGACAAUGCCCAGCCGUUUCGGGAUCCCAAGGGCACCCUUGCCCCAUUUGUCCCGCCACAACUCCCACGAAGUAGGACAUUCAGCCCAACCCAAACUAUCACGAACGCCACACCAUGUCAACCGAGCAAUCGAGCAGCGGAAGAAAAUGUGGUUCACGUCCUCCCCCUGCCCACACAAGGCACAGCGGCAGCUGCCCUUCCAGCCUCUCUGCCGAAAGGCCAUCGCCGUCUGCAGCCUGUUGUUACCGAGUUGCCAAAGAAAUAUUUUAAUUUUCAGCGGAAUCCUCGCACACCACAAAUUGUCAGCGGCCUUCGCGCUCAUACCCCUGUGUGUCAGGAAGGAGUACAGAGAUUUAGUGGAGAAACAUUUGAAUAUGUCGAUAGCCCAUUCCACCUCAUCGUCUCCCUCAGACGGACUAAAAGGCUGGAUCAAAUCCAGCAAGGCAUUGAAGCAGCCCUCUUCAGCGGAGGGGGAUGUCCCAUCCUUCAGAGUCCCAGCAGUCCGACACCCACACCUUGGGGAGUCGGCACAUUUUGAAUAUUUCGGGGAACUGAAUUUUCAAGGGGACCUCAGCACACCACACAUCCUCCCAGAAGGAGGUUUUCUUGCCAUCUUUCACCCUGUGUAACGCCCCACACUUAAACAAGUGCUCGACCUUAUGCAACUCUUGCGAAAACCGAGAAGUACCCAUACUUCUAGAAUUGAAGAAAUUGCCGUCAGGCAUGUACUUUGCUUUAAACAGAGCAAACCAGGUCUCCUCUGAUGCUUGCAUUAUCUUCCAGAUCCAUUUGGACAGCAAACAUUCGUUCAUCAACUUCGUAUUUAGGCUAAUCACAAUGAGGGAUUUUAUAUCCCUAUUGCCAAGAAUAUCACGUCAGCCUGAGGGAUGAAUGAAACACUAUGCCUCAAUGGAGAAUUUCAUUUUACCGUUUGCAAAGCUAACCAGUGUAAUUAAAUGCUAGUUGAUCUAGCGGUGCAUGAGAUCCCCCAUGAAACAACGGCGGUCACAGUGCUCAUUUCACGUCAUUUCCAACAUCUUGGAAACGAGUUAGCAGAGUGUCGUAGGGAUGAAACUGGUUCCUUCUCUUCCCUCAUUAAAUCAGUGCCACGUCAUCAAAAAUAUUGAUGUGUCAUGAUAUUUAAUGCCAUGAAACUUGCCAUGAAAUCUCUAUUGUGAUUAGCCUUAGGCAGCGUUUGGUUCGACGGUGGCAGGCAGCGUUCGCGUUGGAAACGCGGAACCCGAACCAAAGGGCUAGCUUUACGGACGCGCUUUUCUCACCGCAGCAGCGUUCACGCGUUGUGUUCUCACCGCAGCCUAGCACCAGCUUUUACGAGCGUUGGAGCGAACGAGUUGACGGAAAUUACCCGCACUGCCACCGCUUAUGCGUGGAUACCGGUUCGAUUAUUCUCUCUCCUCCGUUCUUUUCUCCUUCGACACCCUCCCUCGAGUACUCCUCUCCCUCACUCCAGACCGAAGCCAGGUCCGGCGGGGGCGCGCGGCGGCGACCGGGCGUGGCGGCGUUGCGGGCGGCGGGGGCACGGGCGGGCGGCGGGGGCGACGGCAGGGGCGUGCGGUGGGGGCGGCGGCGCCCGGGCGCGGCGGCGGUGCGGGCGGCGGGGGCAGGGGCAGGGGCGCGCGGUGGGGGCGGCGGCGCCCGGGCAACGUGAAGAGUAUAUAAGGGAAAAAGAGUUUUCAAUUUGUAUAUAAACAGUAUAUAGCUUCCCCGCAGCAACGUGAAGCAAACAGCUUUUCAGUUUUUCCACAGCAAUUAUCCCACAGCAGCUUUUUCAUAGCAACUAUCUCACAGCUGCUUUUUCACAGCUCACGGCUGAACCAAAUGCACCCUUAGCAUUCCCAAACCCCUUGGUCUUUGGGUCUGCUGAUAGUGUCCAUCUUGGCCAUGUGAUAUUUAAAAUCAUUUGAAGCCCCCUGCCAAAAGAAGUUACUCCUAUGCCUGUCCAUCUCACCUUUAGGCAGCAGAUAGAAUCCUAUUGUGUACAAGGACUCAAGCAGGGCGGUUGACUGGUGCGCUCCGGCGGGAGCCCAGGAUGGGCGCAGGGGCAAGGCGAGGUGGUGGUGGCGUGGGACCUGGCUGGCAGCGGGAAUGCGUGGCUCCGGCGACCUGGGCGCGUGGAGAGGAGCGGAGGAUGGCCGGUGGAGGCGGGUUAAAUCGGGAGGAAGGGAGACGGUGGGGGGAGGCGUUUCGUUUCGUGCUGGGGAAAGGAAAGGAAUUGGCGGAGGGGAAGGAGGGAGGUGGCGAGUUGGGGGAGUUGGAUUCGAAUCCGAGGGAGGAGGAUUCUUCGGUGGCCGGUGGGGGCAACGAGAGCAUGGCCGUGGGGUGAGGCCGGUGGUGAUGUGUCGGUCACGGAUUGGUUGUGUGCGCUGGUCGGGCUCGGGCCGUCGGACGUGGCAAGGUCUCCACGCCGAUGCUGAGCUGAUGUCUGUCUGCGAUUGCCUGCGAUGGCCCACACCAGUAGUCAAACAAAGGCAGGUAAGAUUCAACGGGCCAUUACCGAGUGGUGCUCGCUAUCCUGCUAGGCUUCACACGGAGGAUUUGAGUGAGAGGCUUAGGCUGUCUCCAACGCCGUUCUGUAAAGCGUUCUGUACCGUAUAUAUAGAGAAGAUUCCGUUCUCUAUUACUCCAGCAGCGUUCUCUAAAUGGUACUCUAAAAUAGAGAACGCUACAGCUUUCCUCUAUAUAUAGAGAUUCUCUCUCCUCUUCUCUAUUUUUUCUUUACGUUUUAAACACUGAAUUAAAUAAAAAUAAAAUAUGUCCAUAGCAUUUGAGGUAUGAUAAAUACGUACGUAUAAAAAUUUGGAACAAAAUACGUUUCUAAUAUAGGGUUUAAUGUAUAGAGAACGAGAUUUAGAGAACGUUGUUGGAGAGAAAUGAGAUAUAGAGGAGAGAAUUUUGUAGAGAAUUCUGUAAAUGAAGGAUAUAGAGGAGGAUAUUGAGAACGACGGUUGGAGAUAGCCUUAGACGUGUGCGCGCAAAAUUUUGUCGCCUAUAUAUACACACGCAAGUGAUCUCAUCUUCCACCCUUCACAUCUACAUUCAAUGAAAAGAACGAAAAGAAAAGCAAAACUGCGAACGGGAGGCACCCGGAGAACUUUGCACGGGAAAAGUAAGACAACUUGGCAUGCAAUUUCGGUUAUCCUUUUUUUUUGCAAUGUAGCCGUAAACUACUCCUGUAGAUCAGCCUAAUGCUGUCGUGUUUUUUGCAGGAACAAACUCAUGUUUCCACGCCCCCGAAGUCCUGUGUAGCAUGGUAGGACGUAGAUCGACUUCAUAUUCUCCAUGGAGAUGAAGGAAUACUGCUGCUCGGUCAUUCGCGUUCAGGAUGCAUCAGAGCAAGUUGCAGGGCAUGGUAGAAGGGGCUUACUGGUGGUGCCAUUUUAUUAUCCAGCCAUCGAAUGUCUGAUUUGCGUACUGAUGGCGCAGCUUCUCUAUUGAUGCGCAUCGUUUCAAAACAUAAAGCUACUUUCAUGCUGCGUCUCUCUUGUGUGAGCUGAUUCCUGAAAAGUUCGACUUUCUACGGUACAAGUAUGAUCCCAUAUAAUAGAAUAGACAUGAUAUGAUAUGUUUUUGCCUAUUUGAGCAUGUAUAUUGAUAUUUGAAUGGUACUCGUACCUGGAUAAUUUCACAUGUUAAGACCGGUGACCAUGAAACCAUAUUUGAAAAUCUAAAACAAAUGGGGAGAACGAAGUAGCAAUGACCGUUUUUUUAAGUGUAUCCAUAACAUUAUUCACCGAGACCUACUUUCACUCUAUGUGUUGUGAGUUUUACAUGUCAGAGUUAAUCCAUGCCCCUAUUAAUCCAUGCCCCUGGCAGCCCCUGCUCUGAAAAUAUAGGGGCAUUCAGUAUACUUCUUCAACUCCUCUUCUGCUUUCGCACGCAUAAUAACAUGUAACCAUCUACCACAUAGUAAUUUUGAUACCACCAACUCUGCUUCACUGCUCGUACUUAACUCAGCCCAUCGUGCUCGCGUACACAUAUAUUCUACUUCCUCGCUUCACUGCUCAACACCUCUUGUGUGAUUUAGUAUUCGACUCCAGUCAGUGUGUUAGUCUGAAACCCAUGAGUAUACGAGUUGAUGGCUCUGGUGAUGAGCUACAAGAACAGGAUGUGCACACAUGCAUGUUGUUGACUGGUGAAGCUAGGCUCCUCAAUAGCUGAGGAAGCAACAAAGCGAUCUGAGAAUGGAGGACAUCAGGACAAAUCCUGAGAUUUGCAACCAAAGUAAGCGAUAAUGAUCCAGCAUUAGAAAUUUCGGAUAGCUCAUGCAGAAAAGGUCUCCAAAUCUUAUGCACUUUUCACCUCUUUUGUUGCAGGGGUUUUCUGGUCUUCCCUUGCAAAACCCUGGAGAACCUUGGAAACCACGAGAACAUGCUCCAAGGAUUGAGCGGGGGGUUGCUGGUGCAUAGGCUUGCGACUCUAAGGGGACAAGAGGUGCGUGAUGGUGAUCGAUCUCCUCUCCUUCUCCUUUCAUGAUGGGAACUGCAUUUGCAUUUGCAAAGCCUUGAGAGCUUCAAUAAAAGCUGUUAAACUGUCUUAACAGAAUUUCCGUCGAAAAAUUUUCUUAACAAAAGAUACCAAUCCUGCUAGCGGAGAGGAGAGCUCAAGCUUCAAGGACGAGAGGCAGCCCUCGUUGUGCGGCGGUGGGAGAGCUGGUCCUGCUGAGAAUGGAGAGGCAAUUAGAGGCAACGGUGUUCUUUCCUGAUCGGGUAGGCGUCGCUUAUAAAAGAUGUGCCUCUUGACUCUCCUAUGUUGCUGAUCGUCGAUAUUUCGACAACCGACAACGGGAGAACGGCAGAAGCAGAAAAUAUACAUAAAGCCGCUUUGUUUGUGGAAACAACAGGUCGAUUUUUUUAUUGAAACUGUCACCAUGGAUGUUUUUUUAUUUUUUCCUAGAAAAUGUUAGUGAAUCCCACUGACAUUUACCCAAGAAUUAGUAAGUUGUCACACGCUGCUAGGGGUAGUGGUUAUAAAGCAGGAUUUGAACAACCUCGGUAGUCAGGAGAGUCGACAAUGCCACAAUCACAAUUAGGUCUAAGAAGCGACGAGAAGAUGUCCCCCCCCAACCCAAAUUUCAACCAUGAAUGAAGAAGAGAAAGAAGAAAAAGAGCGGAGGGAGGAAGAAGAGGAGAAAAAUAAUCCCCCUAGAUUCACAUCCUAGAUCCGCCACUGGGCUGCAGUAGCUACCGUUCCAUUCACUCCAGUAAUAAAAUUUGCCAGCAGUUAAUCUCAAUCAUUAAGAUUAGCUCAUCUUCAACAGACUCGGGCCGCCAACACAGACACGCACCACGCACAUGGCCCAUCUUCAAGGCCCGGCCCACUUUACCAACUUGCAACUCUUCCCUACCACUCCACAGUCCACAUCCGGCCUCCUCUUUAUAAACACAUGAGUGGCCUCAUCUCCUGCACUUUCAUUUCCGUGAUUGUACCCCCAACGUGCAUCUGUGAAGUCAAUGGAUAGCGAGGGAAAUGGUGAGAAACAAAAUUAAGAACAGAAGGCACCAAGAGAACCUGCAUGCUAAAAGUAAUAUGCUUACGACUUCUGCAAACGAGGGCCUAAUAACAAUGUCGCGUUUUUGCAGGAUCAAGCGCAUCUUUCCACACGCUUCUCCUCCCGUGUAGCAUGAUCGUGUGAAGGCCAACUUUAUAUUCCCCGUGGAGCGGAAAAUUUUUGUCCUGCUAUUCGGUCAUACGCUUUGAUCGAGGCUGCGUCAGACGAAGGAAAAUGGAAUUAAUGAUGCUAUUCGGUAGCAGGAGCAUGGAGGGAAUGGUGAAGUGGUGGUGAUGUCGUACCCAUCCAUGCAAUAUCUUGUUUUGUUGAUGUUCAAACUGUGUCUAUACUCUAUUCAUGCGCAUAUAUUGGUUCAAAACAAAGCUAUUUUCAUGCCCCUUUGUAAUUAAGGGCCAGCAUUUUAGCAAAGCAACUCCUACCAUAGCAUAAAACGUCAAGAAUAGCCACCUUAAAAUAAGAAGGAAUUAGGGGAAAGUAACCCAUUAAUGAGUUGCUAAUGAUGUAUAAUUUGUACUAUGUGCUUCUAGAAUGUGGAUAAUUACACCAUCCAAAUGACUUUCUUCCUUUUUUUUAGCAUUACCACAACAUUAUCACCAAGACCUACUCUUAUAAAAUAUCUUGUGGGUUUUAUAGGUCGGAAUUAGCAAUCCCUGCUUUGGAAACAUGGGGGCAUUGAGAGUGCUGCUUCAGUGUUUAACCGUCUUGUAUGCAUAACUAGUAAGGUGGUCCACGCAAAUAGCACAGGUAGCUGAUCUUUUAGUAAUUUUUAUGUUUUUCCAACUUUUGAUGCGGCAAGCGACACCCAUUCGAACUUCUUUCGAGAAGCAUUCCACUGCCAUUGGAGCCAUAUUCUCUAGCUACUAGUGGUGCCCACCUGGUCACACCACAGACAAAAGAAUAUAUAAAGAUAUUCGGCAAGAGAUGGACGACACCGAGACGGGGAUGCUGCUCUUUAUAGUUGAAAUUAAAGUCAUGUCAAAAUAGUUUGUUGUUGGUGUUUCCUUUGUUACUUUAACUCUUCACUAAAGUACACUCCUAUAAAUCGACCCGUUGGAAAUAUCCGCACUCCUUUCUCAUCUCGGAACGGUAACAUUGGCUCAUGAAUGGAUGAAGGGCAUACAACAUACUCUUUGAUAAAUCCAAUUAUUUACAUCAGUCAUAUUUUGUUGAAUAUUUUUUGAAACAUGAAUUUAGAAGAAAAUGGAAUGUUAUAUAUAUAAACAUAAAGUUUUAUAUUUUUGACGCCUCAUGCAAUCAUGCUUAUAUUACACUGAAAUAUAUUUUACGAAUACUUUAUAAAUUUUUGAAUGGUCAUGCACUUUUUUAGUUGAUAGUUUCAGUCACCGUGAAUGAAAAAUAUUCUUAAAUUUUUAGAAGAAGAUCUAGAUAAGUGCUCAAUAUAUACCAGUAGCAGUAAAUUAAUAAUCAUGUUUCUUUUAUUUAUGCUCCAAUCUUCAAUUCCUAAAGCUCUGUGCAUACAUGGACACAUAUUAUAUACAUAUUGUCUUACGCCUACUACAUCUUUUUUCCAUGUCGUACACGGGUUCUAUAAAUUCACUAUUACAGCUGAUAAGGAACAGCAUUCGGCUUUACGCUCACCACCAUCUAUAGUCGUCAUCACCCUCUUGGAAUCUGACACGUGCUAACUUUUUCUCCUCUUUCUAGUUGUUCUAGGUAAGCUACUAUUAUUAAAUUAUGCUUCUCCAUGGCCAUUCUAAUGACUUUUAGUGGUUGUUGGCGCGCUUACCUAAAUUGCACAAUGAUGGCAUGUUGGGUAGAGUUUUGGCUCCUUCUAAAAUAGCUUCCACUUUAGUUUCAAUGAUACAACCACUUUUUAACCACUUUUUUAGGAAGCUAUUUUUACAAAAUAUUUAGCAAAUCGGCUUCUUAAUGGCAAUAUGACAAUUCCAGGAGCACCUUAGAGCUUAAGGAGGAAGGAGAAGCCGGUGAAGCCUACUAUCUAUUGCAAGCUGCUCUUGGGUUUCAUGUGGUUUUUUAUGUGAAGCCAUUUUAUUUUACCUGUUUGGCAGAACUUCACCAAAAGACGUUGGAGAAGCCCUAGCAAACACACCCAAACAAUUGUCAAUGCCACUGGUGUUUGAGAAUAUGAUGAAGGGCAUGCUAAAGCUCGAUCAAUGCCAUAGUCAAGCCACUACUUAGCUACCGCCCCAUGACAAUUGAUCUAUAACAUUUAAUAUUUGUUUAUUUGUUUGUAGCUCCACCGGAUGGAGAAGCAUGUGUCUUUCUGAUAUUUUCUGCACUAAUACUUUAGUGAAACUGAAUGUAUAUUCAACAUGAACUCUUUUGGCAAGUGCUAAUUUUAAUUAUUUUUUGAUUUUAAAUUUAGCUAUUAUUUACCUAUCGUAUUCGUCAUAAACUCUUUGAUCAAGUCCUAAUUUUAUUAUUUUUUUAAAUUCUGAAUUUAGCUAUUACUAAUCAUAUUCGGCAAGGACUCUUUGGUCAUGUUCUAUUUUUCUUAAUCAUGUCCUAUUUUUUUUACUCCAUAAUAAGCUAGUUGUUAAUCGUAAAAAGCAUAACGCUCAUCGCUUCCUGCAUCGACCUGCUAGGCACGCAAGAACAUACAUGUAGCUGAAUCUUUCUCGAAUCCAUUGUACUUGAGUGGAAGCGUAGGUCAAAAACACCUCAUAUCUCACGCUAUGUUUGUUUGCCACAUCGUAUCUAUAUUGCCGCGAACAGAGCUAAAAAUCAUGGGCAGUGAAGAUCAAUCUGCAUGCAGCCCCUGCGAUGGACGACCACCUUGUCAGUCUCGCACGAAACGGAAGACUCAUCCACCAGGAGAUGUAUAUAUGGAUGGCAUGUAUGUGUAGAUAUAUAGAAAUAUAAAAUACAUGGUAAACAUCUUAUGUCUCGAUGGAAUAAUUGUGGCUUUCAUAAUUUUUACAACUAAAGUAGCAGUUACUUUCCAUAUAUGUGCAUCCACGUAGAACAAUGGUUUAGAUAUAAGGCAUGUGCUGUUCUCUAUUUGAAAUCAAAUUCUAAUUCUUAAAUAUCAAAUUGAUCUACAGUUAUAACUUGGCUCUACAACCAUACACGAUGUGCAUCUUUCUCUUUUUUCUAAAUGUAUAUAUAUUUAUUAGUCGUAUUUGACAUGAACUCUUUGAAUUAAUCUAGACCAUUAGAUCUUCGUAAAAUCCGAUUGUGUAUAUUGUUCUUUUUUUAGAUUAACAUGCGAAUUUUUUUCUAAAUGUAUAUAUUUGUUGGUCAGUAUUUAACAUGGGCUCUUUGGAUUAGUCUAAACUGUUAGAUCUUCAUAAAAUUCGGUAGUGUAAAUCCUUCUCUUUUUUAGACUAAUGUGGGAAUUUCUGGACCCUCUCGGCGAACGUGGUUACUUCUUUUAACACCCCCUUAUUAAUAUAAUAGAUAGAUAGAUAACGUCUAACCAUCUACUACAUAGUAACUUUCCAACAACUCUACCUCUCUGCCCCCCUAUUAUUUAACUCGGUCAACUCUACUCGUGUACACAUACACAUUCUAUUAUUCUACUUUUCCCCACUUGAGCACCUCUUGUUACGGUAACUAUUGUAUUCCACUCUAGUCAUAGUGUUAAACUCUGAAUAUACAAGUUGAAUGACACUAAAAGAGAGGGGCAGUGGCGAUGAGCUAGCUACAAGCUUAAGACGGGCGGUGCAGAUGCAUGUUCUUAUGGCGGGUGAACGUAGGCAGUAGGCUCAUCAGACCUGAGGAAGCAACACAAAUACACAGUGAUCUGAGAAUUGGGGGCAUCAGGACAAAUUCUGGGGUUUGCGAUGAAAGUAAGUGAUCACAAUCCAGAAUUACGAAAUUUAUAAUUGAAAAAAUAAGAUAUGGAAGAGGGUCUCCGGCCAGGUAUUAUUAUACACCAUCUCUUUUGUUGUUGUAGGCGGGUUCUUGCCUUCCCUUGCAGAACACUCCUGUGGGUUGGGAGUAGCAAGUAGCAUAAAGACUGAAAGGCGAUUGGCUGGCGUACAUGCUGUAAUAUUCCAUGUUAACCCCUAGAAGGUUUAUUUAACAAAAAUUGUGAAUAUCAAAAACUUUUGUGUAUGAUCUUGGUUUAGAGGGGUUGAUGCAUUUUAUUUGAUUUGGAUUUUCGAAUUUGUUUGAUUCAAUUGUGUGGGAUUUGGAUUUGAAAAGGGUACUCAAAUUCAAAUCUAAAGUCUAACCCUUAAAACCCUGGUGGGCCACCAGCCCAAGCCCAGCUGACCCCUUUCCCCUCUAUCCAUCUCUUUCCCCCGCGCGUCCCGGCCCAGCCCAGCUUCGCGAUCCGUCGCGACUCCUCGUUUCCUCUUCCGCCCGGGGCAGCUGACGGGCGGGUCCCACCCGUCAGCUUUCCCUUCUUCCUCCGCCCGCGCCCUCUCCUGGCUCGCUCCGCCCACGUCGCCGUUCGCCCCGCUCCGCGACAGGAGCUUCUAACCGCCCGCUCCUCUUUUCCUCUUUCCUCCCGCCGCGGCCCCGCUCCCUCACGUCAUCCGCCAGCCAGCGCGCCGCUCCGCUCCGCGACAGCACGGUGUAACCACCCGCGCGCGCUCCCUUUUCCCCCGUACCCCGACCGCCCGCGCCGCGAGCCCAAACCCUAGCCGUGCUCCCUCCGGCGCCGCGAUGCCGCCACGCGUCCUGGCCCGGACGCCAAAAAGCCCCGGCCGCAGCCACUCCCGAGCCCUAGGGCCGCCCCAUAAAAAAACCCACGGCCGCCGCUGAAGCCCUAGCCACCCGCACCCACUUCUCCAAUCCGCUGUCGCCGCACCCGAGAGAGAGAGAGAGAGGAGGAGGAGGAGAAGCGCCCGAGGAGGAGGACACCGACGCCACCCGGAGCCGAGCGAGGAGGACGCCGCCGCCGCCACCGGAGCUCCACCACGCCUGCGCCGUACGACUACACCAAUGCAGCCGCGCACCCUGCACAGCCCCGACCCGCCGGCCUUGCCUCUCCGCUGCCCCGAGCGCCCUCUGCUCCAGCCCCGCCGGUGAGCCACACUGCCGCCACCCCUUUCCUUUCCCCUGCUGCCGGCGUGAGCCAUGGGCCGCCGAUGAACCCUCUGUAGUAAUCCCUAGGGCUCCUUCCCUUCCGGCCUUGGCGCCGUUUCAUUUGUGCAGGGACCCGCCGCGCCGCCACCGUACCCCCCGCAAACGCCGUCGCCCCUCGCCGCCGCGUUGUGCCGCGGACCCGGGAUGCCGGUGCUCCGCGCACGGCACGGCCACGCCGAGGCUCUGGAAGACCAGAACCCGCGCGCGUGCGCGCGCACCCACAACACGAACCCGAGCCGUGCCGCUGCCCGUUGCCUUGGCCCCAGCCUCGCCAUGCCUGCGCCACGGCCUCGCCGUGCACGUCCACCCCCGCGACGCGGCCGCGACGUCGCGUUCGCGUCGCGGCCAAGUCGUUGGGGCUUUUCCUCGAGCACCCUCCGGGUGCUCACACUCGCACACGCCCUCGGCGCCCACACGUACACACACACACCCACCUGCCGCACCGGAUCUGAACCCCGCCGCACCAGAUCCCGCGGAGGCCGACACGUGGGACCGCCCUGUCAGCGAAGGAGAAGACCAGAAGCUGCCGGGCUGCGAGGAGGAGAAGGCGAAGCGACGAGCCCAGCCCACGGAGGGAAAGAAGCCGGCCUGCGAAGGAUUCAAGCCGAGCCGAGCCUUGUUGGGCCAACCGAGCCGGCCCAACUGUUUUGAGCCCAAAAACAAGCUGAGCCCUUUUCUUUUUCCUGUUACAGGCCUGACCCGAGGGGCCCACCCGUCAGCCUCAGGGCGAGGCUGACCCGUGGGGCCCGUUGACCGUGGACCCACCUUGACUGUUGACCGUUGACCGUUGACCGGUCAACGGUGACGUUAGCAGGGCCCACUGCUGACGUCAGCAUACCCGGACCCCCCUGAUGACGUCAUGCUGAUGUCAGCAUGCCACGUGGCACGCCCUGGUGCUGCCACGUGUCUCUGUUUAAUGAUUUUCUUUUCCUUAUCCGGACCUCCGAAAAUUAUGAAAUCAGUUUCAUAAUUCUUCUAAAAUCAUGAACCACCUGUUAGAGUAGGCAUUAUGGUGAUUUGGAUCUUAUUUGUAGUGUUUUGUGCAUAUUUGCACUUUGGUCCCUACUCUUACUCGUAUUUACGAAUAGGACCCGACCGCGAGGAGUUGACCGACGACCAGGACUACCCGGAGGCCCAGGAGGACUUCGAAGAGACGCCAGGUUCACGCCCAUCUACGAUUUGAAUCCCUAUUAGGCAUUUGCUUGUAGAUAUGCUAUCGUUGUAUGUGUAUAUAUAUACAUAUCGAGAUAAACCUGCAUGGCCUCAUUUAUGUACCUUGCUCCUUGCCAAUCUAUCUUACUUGUUUAUUAUAUGAAAUGCCUUGUAAAUCCUUGAAUGUGUAUGUGUGGGAUAUGGAUGGAUAGUCUUGGCGUGUGUGAAGUGUUUCUCUUCAGGAGUUGGUGAUUAGGGCUUUAGCCGGGAGUGGGCAACCUAACUCGAUCGUGGAUCGAGGGCUUGGGGUGUGUAUCUUGGCACACCCUACAGAGUACCUGUGGCGGGUACAGCUUUGGUUACGUGUUUGAGGUGUUGGAGGCACCCGUUAUGGGUGCAGUUGCGGAUCACCGUGGUGGAUACGCUUUUGACGAAGAUGCCCGCUUCGGCAGUUAAGGACCGGGUGAGAGUAACCAUGACUUGUGGGAAUCUGUUAAGCGUGCACACCACUUACCCAUUAUGAGGGUGGGUCCGGUCCGGGGUUAGCAAGCGCGGUACCAAGCCGGUAGGAGGAUCGAGUAUCGGUGCAGGGGAAAGAGGUGCUGACCUCACGUUCUCCGAGACGCAUGAUAGGCUUCACAGUCCCGGGGUGACCUCCCGUGGGAGGAUGCGCCCAAGACCCGGGAAAGCCGGAUGGUGCCGUGGCUCCUAAUUCCGUUUCAGUAGAUCGGUGUUUCGUAUACUAGUCGGCUGAUCUCCGGCUAGUGUCGAUUCGAGUGGGUCCAGGUGUACAACCCCUGCAGGGUGAAAACUAUACGUAUAGCCGCGUCCUCGGUUAUGGACAUCCCUACUCCUCUGUUGCUCUUAUUAGUUAGUGUUACUCAUGAAUUCUACCUCCCUCUAGAAUAUUUUUCCCUGCCAGGGGGCAGUUGAGAUGCGAGGAGAGGGAGUCCUCGCAUCGACUUGGUGGUUUUGGAAGGUGUGUGUGACCGGGAGACCGGAAUACCGGAAGAGCCCGAGUCAGGAAUGAAAGGAGAUGUGUAAUCAUAUAUAUAUCUAUAUAUAUUUUGCAUGCAUAGGGAAACCCCAGCUUUACCUCUUGAACUCUGUUAAAUCCGUAGUGUAGACCACAAAAAGCUAGCAUACAGAUGGUGACGUGAACCUAUCCCAUUCCUUGGGGAUAGCCUGGUACGAUGCAGGAUCCGAUCCGGAGUUCGACCCCAACGACGACGGAUGGUACGACUGAGGCCCGAGCUACGCUCAAGUCGCCUGUGGAGGAGGUUCCCGAGGAUGAAGGACGGCCAAAGACCUAGCUACCGUUUUUGCGCCUUCUGCUUGUUCGAUCUAGCCGGAAGGCUUGUAAUAAUUUCCGUACUACAGAUUCUUUGGAUUUAUGUAAUAAUUAAACCCGGGUUUGACCUCAUAAUGAGUAUGACUGUGAUAUUAUGCCUGAAAUGAGUUCUGUAUGUGAUAGCGCUUGAUCCAGGGACUAUCACGAUGAUACAGAAAGUCGGAUUCCUGAAUUCGGGAAUCCGGUUGUUUCACAUGCAGUCUCGCUCCCUGGGCUGACACCGCAACUCGAAGCUCAAAGAGACCAGGAGGUGCGUGACGGCGAUCUCCUCCGUCUCAUCUUCAUCUUUGACGAUGGGAAUUACCCUUUUCUUAAGAAGGGAUUCCAUUCGCUGCAACACUAAAGUUCGCUAGUUUAAUUCAAUGGAGCCGCAGAAGCUUAUUAGUUCCGUGUUCCUCAUCAAAGAAAAAAGAAAAGGAAAAGGAAAAAUGCAAGCUACGUCGUACAAGAAGUGAAUUGGGGGGGGGGGAAAAAAAGGACGGAAAUUUUGUGGUACGGUGACGCGCACGGUAGGAGCCAAGCAACCAUCGGUUGGCCUAGCUAGCUAGCAUGUCGCGAGGCCACGCCCGUGCAGUGCAGGUGGAAUGGAGCCCAGCAAAUGCCCUGCCGGCUGCCGGCGUGUGGGCAUGCGGGCCGUUGCCGUACCGUACGCCUACCGUUCCGCUCCCUUGCGCGGCACACGGGACAGGGGCGCACGCGCGCGCAGGGCCGCAGGCCGGCCGUUGGCGACAGGGCAGUUGCUGGUUCGCUCUUCCCUCUGACGCGCGCGCGGUCCCUCUGCUCGUGAGGCGGCCGAGGCGCCGAGCCGGGGUGCCACCCACCGUGGCGGUUGGUCAUGUAGGCCGGCCUGCAGGGCCGAACGAAGCCAAAUCCGCCGGGAGGCACGCGCGUGCGUGGGCUGCGCACUGCUAGCUAGUCGUCACUUCACACACGGCGCGCUGUGUAUCGGUCUACCGCUACCUCAGCAAAUCAUCAAGCACGUACACGUAGUUUGUUUCAGCGUCCGACCUUGCGCGCAUGACCUCUUAUAUUAGAUAUUAGAUAUUAGCAACUGCCAUGGCCGGCUAGCUUGGCGCUCUCAUCACACUGCUUGCGCUAGCAUUGCGUAUCUCUUCUUCUUCUUCUUGCCCGGCUUGACUUCGAAAAAAGAUACUUCGUUGAUCUGCCCGGUCACCGCACCCGGGUCGUCCUUGUGCACCGUGCUUAAAUGAUGGCGGAUGGUGAAGCCACGCGCGUGCAAGUCCAAGACCAUCUGCGAUUCUGCAUCGCCGCACAUACGGACACCAGCAUCUGGUACAAAAAAGCUGACGACAAACAAUGUAAUUUAUAAAAAAAAAAAGAUUAUCAAUAUAGGCCAGCAGCCAGCUCAAUAUAAUGACAUUGACAGCUUAGUCAGCAGAGAAAACAGCAAUUAAGAAAUCUUUAAAACACAAAUGUGUGUGUGUGUGAGUGUGUGUGUGUGUGUGUGUGUGUGAGAGAGAGAGAGAGAGAGAGAUGGUCAUGCUUGGCUCCUCGCACGCCAUCCGCAGUAGAGCCAGCAACGUAGUACACGCCCACAGCUAGCCUGGGGGAGCUCGACUGGCCUGGCUGGCAGCUACGCGAGUGGCAUACAGGGAGCCAGGCAUAUCCCCUAGCUUUUCACCUCUUUCCGACCUGCUGCUGCUGCUGCUUCCCAACGCAUGGACGAUGUACGUACACCUACCGUCUCCAACAUCGAUCCACGCCACAAUGCCAUGCCAUGCAUGCUCUAUCUUCCCUGAACUAACUGAACUUGCAGUUGCAAGGCGCCGGCCAUGGCAGCACCGAAACAAGCUAAUAUAAGCAGAUAGCUGUCUGUGUAUGCAUGCUGGCUUCGAAAGAAGAGAAGUAACUCCUAUUCCCCGCUCACCCAAACCCAGUGGCUCCUUUCUCAUAGUACACAGACGAUUACAGAGAGCCAGAUAGAGGUCGAGCGCGGGCGAGAGAUGCCCGGAGGAAGAGGUAGAGGGGGGGUAGGAAGGACAACGCAAUGCACGGACGAAACAGACAGAAGAACGGAUGCUUGCUUGAGAGAUGAGCUGGGACUGGGAGGAGCUAGCUUUGCUGAUGAGAGAAUGGAGUAGGGGACUCUCCUUCGAUCUAUGCCCCCGUAUAAAUAGGUGGCUCCGAUCCAAAAAUCCCCCGGGUCGUCAAAGUGCCCGCCCUAGCUGCAAGCUAAUCGAUGGAUCUCCCUCUCCCGUCCCAUCAUCCUACACACACAUGCUCGCACAUUGCACGCUCCUCCAAGCAGCUCAGAGCUCACGGCCAUGGUGGCCAGGCCAGACCAGAGAGAGAGAGAGAGAGAGAGAGAGGAGAACCUCAGGUUUCCCCAUCCAUCCAUAUAUACGUGCACACGCGCAUGACUACAAGGCCCGAAGAAUAAAGGCGGACGGACGCCCGCUACGCACCAAGUGCAUGAAAACCCUAGACAGGCGCCCUAGGCAGCUGGCACAGUGUCAGGGUGGCUCUACUAGCUCUCUAGCUAUCGGCAUCGGCAUGCCUGCUGCCUUUUCUCGCUCUGACUAUCUUUGCCAACCACAAUGCACAAGCACACAACACCCUUGUGCUUGUGGCGAAAUGCAAUCUCGCACACGCAAGAAGGAAUCUCCAUCCAAAUGCUCCUCCUAUUCAAUUCUUCUUGAUGAAUGAUGUGAGCCUUUUCUUUUUUGCAUUGCCUGUGUCUGUGUUGUGAUGCUUGCAAAUUGCAACCCCUCUCUCUACCUCUCGAGUCUCGUCUACUAGCUACUCCGCUUUGCAAUUGCAAAGAACAAGCUGGCUUUCUGAGACGGGGUUUGUCUCGCAGCGGUUGGACGGGAGCCGGAUUCUGAUCCCCUGCGCGCGCUGCGCUGCUGGACCAAGGCGUGUGUGGGUCACGCCGUGCCUUUCUUUCUACUGCGCGUGGGCUUUUUUAACAGCACGCAGCGUGCCCCCGUGACAAUGCAUGCACCAUGCAUGCUGCUGCGUGCGCCCUACUUUUUACCUUUCCUUGUUGCUCCCGCAAAAAGUUGAUGCGACUGGGAUGGGCAAAAGGUGGCGCCACACCGGGCCUUGAACUACUUGUGCACUAGGGUGUCUGUGUCUCGGAUUGCUCUUAACCCAAGUGUGUGCUGGUUUAUUUGGUCCCUGGCUACUUCAAAAUAAUGUUGAGGCUAGUAGUACUUGUCAGGUUUGCAUUGCUAUAGUAGAAGCACUAGCAGACCUGCAACAUUACGUUCAAAAAGCAGACCUGCAACAGUUCCAAGCAUCAAGCAAAAUGCAAGGGCGUCAGGGAUCAAACUGAUCGAGCCGUACACAGUACAACUACAACCCCCACGCCGGCCACCGGCGUCGUAGGCGUUGGACAGCAGCAGCAGCAGCAGCAAAGCUAGGUCAGGUCACGUCCACCGCGACGUGCGGACCACGUGAGACGAAACGGGAACCAAUAGCCGCGCUCCUCACGUACGCCAUCCGUACGCGCGCGCCCCGGCCGCAUCGGGCGGCGGAUGUGGGUGGGCGGGCGCUACCUGCUGCGGCCGCUGGCGUCUCUCUUGGCUGCCCCCCGGCCGGCACCGGCAGCCACCCGUGCUCCCGGGGCGCCGUGUGCCGUCGCGGUCGGCGGGGACGACGCCGUGCGUGCGGCGGGACACACCGAUGGAAUCAGAUCGCCGAUCGAGCCGGCCGGCCGGCAGCGGACCGAAGGGACCAUUCCGGAACGGGACGCGCCAAUGGAGAAGAACAUCGAAGCACGGCCGCCGCUAACCGCGCGAUCGAGCGAGGAGGCAACGAAUCAUUACGCUCGGAGCCCCGUUGGCGCCUGCACGCAAGCCGCUUUCAGGGAGAUUCGCGGCGGCCGCUACGGAACAAACGCCCGCAACGGCCCCGGCCGCGGCGGCGUGUCUCCUUGCCCUUGUCCCCCUCUGGUCGCCCGCUACCCCCCGGCCUCCGCUUCCCUAUCGACCUAGGAGUAUACGGCUACACGACCUGCCUUCCUUCCUUGGGCUGCAGUGUGGCAGGCAGCAACCUUGCUGACCGCUCGCUGGUAGUGAUGGAAGAUGGCGAAUUGGCGAUGAAGGAACGAACGAACAAUGGCCACUGCCAGGGCGAGUCGGUACCGUACCGGGGACCGGAAGGAGCCGGGAGCCAGCACCCAGCAGCUCGUACGUGCGUGCAAGCAGUGUCGCCGUCGAUCUUGAGUUGGGACGAUGGCGAUUGCGAGUGAGGAUCCCAUCUCUAGAUCUCUGAUGAUACAAGUACGUACAGCAGCUGGCUAGCUGAAACCGCCGCCAAGUGCCUGUGCGUUAAUUACACUUCUGAAUCGUCCUCUGCAUUCUGAAUCGUGGCGGGCUGGCGGCAGCGCAGACGGUCAAAUGUAUAAACAUGCAUCUCCUGCAGUCUAGGCGCCUGAAUGAAAUCGAGACACUGACUUCAGGCGACGAGGGGGGGGUAGCCAGCGGCAGCCAGACGAGGUUCGUUUCCGGUCGGAUCGGAUCUGGCACUCGCAGACAGGCCCCCUUCGCACAGGCGCAUCAGCAAGUAAGGUUCCGUUUGGAUCAAAGGAAAAUCAAAGGAUUUUUGUAGGAAUACAAUCCAUAGGAAAGGAAACACGCUGCUACGUUUGGAACGGAGGAAACCGGCGAUCCGUUCCGUUGGAAAGGAAACUACGGGUGUGCAUUUUAUAGGAAUCAAAAAAAUCCACUCCGAGUCAAAGGAAAGAAAGGCUCGCUCUUUCUCCGUCUCUGUCUCUCACGUUCACUCUCCGUCUGGGUCUGCUUUUUCUCUUCCUCACGAAGCUCUCAUCCCCAACCAUGGCUCUACAGAACUAGCUCAUCUGCCUCAAGAUUGGACCUCAAGAUGACGAAUCCACGAACCAAGUAGCUCAUCUGCUCAACGGAAUCGCCCUCCUCUGCCUUUUCCCCUUCCAUCAACACUAGAUUGUGGGCAAUAUGCAGAAAAUAAACUCAUCAUCAUUUCUGGACCUACGAUGGUAGUUUGAAUCCAUGAAAAUGAAUACUACUACUUGGUUUGCUGCAGGUGGGUGAGUGUGUUUGAAUGGCUCUUGCAAUGUUGUAUGUCAUAUGGGUGAAUUAUAUAGCAAGAAGCUAGCUAGAGAGGUCCAACGGUCUUAUGCCCAACGACUAGUAUGUGUGCAACAUGUCCAACGGCUAGUAUGUGCUUGCAACGGCUAGUACCCUCCGUGGUUCAAAUAUUCAAACUUUCCUGCAAUCCAAACAACAACAAUUCUAGUUUCCUGUGUUUUGAAUUCCUGUGGUUUUCUCAUCUUCUUGAUUCCUACGUUUUACCUAUUCCUACGUUUUUUCUUAUUUCUAUAUUUUUCAUUCCUUUAUUCCAAACGGGGCCUAAAAGUGAUCACUGCAUCAGCACGUACUGGGCCCGGCGGGUUAUGGCAUUGGAACUACCACGCGGGCCACACGACGACGACGAGGCCGUGGGCUGCCUCCCAGUUGCCAACGCGAGUUGGCCGACCCACCGAACGGCGGACGAUGCACGUUAAGGGCCUUCAGCCCAAGAUCCCAUCUGCCUGAAAGCAAAAUAAUAAUGAUUCGCAUAUCGUUUGGAUAAACAAAGCGGUUUCGUGGUGUAGUUGGUUAUCACGUCAGUCUAACACACUGAAGGUCUCCGGUUCGAGUCCGGGCGAAGCCAUGCUUUCUUUUUCAUCUUUUUUUGUCCCUGCGCUGACAUAGUGACAUUGUUCAAACUCAAAACCAGUGCCGCAACCCUCAAAACGGAUUCGUAUGUUUCUUUGUUCUUCAAACAAGUAGCACAAAUGUCCAUCACUUCAGAAAAAUCCAUCUCCGCCGGAGCAGGGAAAUCAGAGUCGAGCAUUGUACACACGCUCACUAGCCAGCUAAGCACUAUUUUUUUAAUCUAUUAUCGCUCACAUUUUCUUUGCAAUUAUUCCUCAAUAUAAUUUUCUGGUUUUCUGUCCUGCACCGCUAAUUCGUCCAAUGCAACCGCCAACUUCAUUACCGUUCAUUGCUGUUAACCAUCUUUAUCAUCUAGAUGAAUAUGAAGAACAUAUGUUUCAGUUCACUAAAAAAGCAAACGGUCCCUCCCUUCAUGCAAACUUGCAGACAGUACUUUGACAACUAGCUAGUACAUCUCAGAAGGAGAUAAAGAUGCACCCAACUUGCGGAUGAACUGCCCCCAAAUCUCAAGUAAUAAACGUGAAACACGGUAUGAACCCCAUAAGUUUUUUUUUUUUGCGGGUAGAACCCCAUAAGUUUGUUCUGCUCCGACUCCGAGAUGGCGACUGAAGCGAACCCUAGUAAACACAAAAUGCAGACAUGAACAUCAAUCACUCCUACUAGGGAAAGCUAAGUAUGUUCUCACCACUUCCAUUUGUUAAGUCAGGUGGAAAACGCAUCAAUUACUAGCGCACGCGCACUAAUUGUUGCAGCUAGUGGAAAAAAGGAAUAAAAACGUAACACGAAAAUCACUCCCCAGAUAACAGCGGCAGCCUUGGUCAUUGAGCUGCAUCCAAAAAGUCCCAGCUGGUAGAGACAAAAAGAGGGCAAUUCACUUAUAUUUCAUCACUAUUUGUAUUCCAAACAUUCUGAAGGCACGAGCGAGUGACAAGCUAUGUGCAUCCAAAGAAUAACCAAGAGACGAAAGCAACAGCAGGCUAAUGAGGGAGUGCCAGGGGACCCAGAUGUGGUUGACAGAAAACCUCAUGAGAUAUGAGCAUCUGAUCCUAUUAUCACUAGUUGCAGUGAACAGCAGGCCCCAGUAGCAUGUGCUGAUAGGACCAUGCAUGUAACAUGCACUUGAGCACUGUAACAUCAGGGAAAAGCUUGGGGCCAAAAACCGCCACGUCUUGAGAAACAUCUCCAGGCUGAAGAUGAGAGGCUGGCACUUUGCAAGUACAGGGCUCCACACAGAUUCUCCCAGCUGCUGUGAGCCACAAGAACACCAGGAUGGGAGGAUGCUGAAACCAUUGCUCAUUAAGCAUGUCGCGUCAUGUGCCCCACAAGCAGAUCCAGUUAUGAGCCGGCAGGGUGAUGGACUGGCGAGCUCAUCUCCUGCGGAUCAAAUCUUUCCACAAGCAGAAAAUGGUGUUAGUAAGCUAUAGAUAAGAUCAACGUUGUAUGUAUGUGUUGGUUCCCCAGAAAUAGGACCAGGCAAAAAGACAAGAUUGAUUGAUCUGUACUUUUGGAUUUAGAGGUCUGUUAUCCGAAAUCCUUCUGUAGGACCUGUUGGUAGGAUUUUGAUCAGUUCACAACAAUCAUUGCAACAUUCUUCUCAGAAAAAGAAAAGGGAAAGGAAGCAGCAAACAUCCCAUUGAUUCAAUUAUAACAGUAAUGGAAAGAAAAUUGUUGCCAUAUAUGUACAUCCCAGGAACCUACUGUUAAUUGAAUAAUAAUGCUAGAAUUAAAUGCAGUGGGAAUCAAAGUGAGCAUCUUGGGGGAGAAACAUUGAUAUCUGCAUUUACAUGUACUUAUAGCAUGCAUAUCUAGACUGCUAUUGUCAUAUCAAUUGUGAGUAGUACAGCAAUAUGGAUGUCAUCUGCUCAUCAUUUUCAUCAUUUUCAGUGAUUGCCAGAACGAAGGCCCUUGUGCAAAUCGACAUUGCAGUCCUAAUCCUGUAAGUGUCAAGAAAAGUAUGGUUAAACCGACCGGUUUGACGGCAUCUACAUCUUUGUACAAAGUUGUCAAUUCAGUAUCAAGAAAUGGACUCAACAUUUAAAAUUC
RNAcentral lists this long non-coding RNA (67739 nucleotides) under Panicum hallii. RNAcentral describes it as "long non-coding RNA (PHAL_LNC000849)". The stretch from base 65618 to 65691 matches the Rfam family "tRNA". The record is from RNAcentral. Lineage: Eukaryota; Viridiplantae; Streptophyta; Magnoliopsida; Poales; Poaceae.